UAUUAAAUUUUGGAACGCUUCUCCAGCUUGGACCUUGGAAAUUCCUCCGAGUUUAUAGGAGAGAUGAAUCUCAAAGAAUUAAUAUUCCUGGCUAUAUUGGAGUGCAACAAGCAAAGCUUCAUUUGAUUUUCACCGAGGAACCAGCGUUUUCUCCUAAAUAUGAUUGAGGAGCUUUCCUCCUUUUCCUUUCAUGAUAAUAUUAUGCCUGAGAACGUUCCUCAAUUUCAUUAUUGGAUCAUUAUGCAAUCAGUUUUGAAUGAAGAACUAGAGUUCUUUUUCAUUAUGCAGUAACAGUGACAAUACUUGCAGGAACACCCACGCCUGGUGAACCUAUUCUUCAUUUUAUCUCGAUACUUCCUGCACAUUCCACGUAAAUGAGCAAGGGCAAGGGUUAAUGACUAUUCUAAAUUGAGUUAAUAACUAGGGCAGCUGCUUGAUCACUACUUAUGCUCGUGGUUUUAGUUUGCUUCCUUUGGGGCUUCUUUCAUGGGAGUGAUGCUUUUCCAAAAUGUGUGUUGGCCAGCCUCUCCGUUUGUAAGCUGAGAAUUGUAGGAUCUGUGGUCGUGGGAAGAAGGAAAUGAAUCGUGAUUGUAUCAACCCAGAGAGUGAAAACUGCAUUGUAUCUAGUCCGUGUAUUCGCUUGUCAAACAAUGCAGUCUUUGGUAGUUAGCCUGUGUAAGUUCACGAUGUAAGAGAACGAGAUUUAUUUACCUACUCGUGUAUCACAGUCGCCAUGAAUUGACCAGGAAGACACCAAGCAGCAAAACUAUGCACUGAUUUGCCUUUUUCUCUCUUUCUUUUUAGUUCAAGGAACCAGGAGACUCCAAGAACAUAUGGAAAGCUAGCUGCCUUGUCGAAGAACAUUUUUCGACAUAGCCACUGGUAUUGUGUACCAGCUACGGGAAACCAUAUAUGGCAAGAAAAUAUCUUUCUAAGACACUAGAUGCUAUCAACUCGCGAUUCUCCAGUUGCUGACUUGCAAUUGGCAAAAGUGGCUCCAACCAUUCUGGAUUGAGAAAGAAGCAAUUAGAGUGGAACUGAAUAUUUUGCAUCCUCUGAUACGCGAAGAAGUGUGAGAAGUUCACUACAUAUCUGCAGAAAUUUUUGAGAGAUAUCAUUUCUGUCUGAAUGGACCAUUCCAAAUCUUGUAUUGACGUGAGGGGAAGACAAACAACUCAGGUAUGUUAUAAACUGCUUCUGAGGCUAUAAAUUACUAUUAACUCUAAUUGCCACCUGCAUAAGAAGACCGGUUUAUUAAAGAUCUCACGUUCCCAUGUGUCCAAACUUGUUCAGAAAGAUGUGCACUUUACCCUGUAAAGCAUAUGCUCCACUUUUAGUUCAUUUAUUAGAGAUCUUCUAUCUGUUCUGGCUUAUAAUUUUCUCAACAAGAAGAGAGAGUGUAAGCAAUGGUGCUGAUGCCAGCAAUUCUGGCGCCGUGGGAGCAUCCACUUGUCCAUUCAUCUCUCCAAGUGGUGUGGGAAAUGACUGCAACAAAGUGUUCUUGAGCUUUAGAGGCACAGAUGCUCACACAGGAUUCACAAAUCAACUCUACCAUUCGCAAACUUGUGGAUGUAGGCACUGUGCCAGCUCAUGUUCAGAGAUGAUAAAGACCUCCAAGUCGGCAAGGAGUCUGGGUCAGAGCUUCUUAGCGCAAUCAUGCAGUCCAAGAUCACGGUACCAAUUAUCUCUCCCAAUUAUACUUCCAAUAAAUGGUGUCUUUGUAAGCUCAUUCAAAUGAUGGAGCAGAGAAACAGAGGAAAGUCUUGCUGAUGUUUUACAAAGUCGAUCCCUCACAUGUGCGGUACCUGAAAGGGAGUUUUCGCAAGGCCUUCCGCUCACCCAAAAAGCAUUUUGAUACGAAGGCUGUCAAACCAGGGCAGCGAGCUCUCCGGCAGUGAGUUUCUUAUACAGAUGGGAAUAAGAAAAAAUCGCUAAUGGGUACCUUCGUUUCCGUUGAACCUUGCGUACUUUCUUUCAACAAGAUCUUACUGGGGGUAAAAGAAAGACAUUAUUUCGUUGCCAUAAUCAUCCUGAACUCUUGCCCGCAGAACCAGGACAAACUAUGUACAAAAAUUUGCUGUAUUCAUCCUUCGUCCAUAUUUUCACCCUAGGAAAGCGUGUGUGAUUUCUCUGUGAUUAUAUUUCUCGUUUUUGCGGUCAGCUUUGCAGACGCGACAGCAUUGAAAAGGAAAGCGCUGGGCAAGACAUCAAAUCAUCUCAUUGCUGAAUUGAGGAGUCUACGAAAAGAUUGCAAGUACCCAACAUGAAUUCGUUACCAAAGAUAUACUUCCUUAAGCUAAAUGGGGCCCACACGGAAUGAAUAGGAAAGCAAUGGCUAAUUUAGGAAAUAAGGAAGGAAUGCCUCGUGUUGACGAGAACUCCGUUGGCGCAAAUGAUAAGGUACUUGGCUCCCUCAAGAGCAUUAUGUCGCGAGUUGGAUUAUUCGAGAUUGUUUCCUUUGGCCAUCCACAAGAGUCCCAAAACCGUGCAAUGCUAUGAUUACCGGUGUGGUGGAGAUAGGUAGCUUGCCAUAUAUUGGGAUAGAUUUCAUCAAUUCAUGGUCACUAAAUUUAGAAGAUACGCACAAUUUGAUUGGCGAACUUUGAUUUCGAUCGUUGCAUGCACUGAACUUUAAGUCCUUUUCUUUUGCAAUCCAUGCACUUUGAUUGGAAACUAGCCAAUUCUUGAUCCAAACACUGACAUGGCGGAUGUGCGGUGCCGGCGUGGUGUCCACCUUCGGCAUCAUGUUAGCACAAAGAAAAAAGAUUAAGAAAGUGUUUUUUUUUUUUUUUUUUUUGGGGAGGGGGAGUGUUUGUGGAGGAAGGGAAAAGAAGAAGUGAAGAGAGCCACCAUCUAAGUAACACUAACACACGACACGACACGGCACGAUAUGCCGGCACGUCGUUUUUCAAAAAACUGAGAAUUCCAGCAUGUUGGUACAUAUUAUAUUAAAUAUAUAUUUUAUAUAUACAUAAUAAAUUAUCAUUUUUAUGAUUUUUUUCAAUUAAAUUAAUUUGAAUCAAAUUCAUAAAUAAAUAAGUAAAUAAAAACUCUUAAAAUGAAUUUACCACUAAAAACAUUCAUCUGCUAUUUAUUAAUAUCAUUCAUUAUUUUAAUUUGACAAAUUCAACUCUAUUUCAAUAAUUCAUAAAACUUUGAAAAAAAAAAAAACAAGCUAUCCAUAUUUUGAACUUGCAUGUUAGAUAUGUUGGAAGAGGAGAAAAAAAACUUAUGGGAUGAAUUGUGUAUCAUCAGAAGUGGGAGUCAGAAGAGAAGAGAAGAGAAGAGAAAACUAGGUUUCUCAACCACCGGCCGGUGGCAUGGAUGGUAGAGCCUUGGCCCUCCCUGGUGGAGGCCAAGGUUCGAAGCCCCUGCGAAGUAGGGAGGCUGAAGCAUUGUGUGGUGACUUAAGCGUGACGUCAGGGUAGUGGUUUCCCUGCUAGCUUCACCGGGGGGUUUACGGUGCACUGUCGGUGCAAGCUGGUUCCUCCUGUUCCAAAAAAAAAAAAAAACUAGGUUUCUCUUCUUUCUCCAUUUAUUAUUUUUAUUAUUGUGUUUUAUUUUUUUCACAUAUAUUUUUUUUGACGUUUUGUUUAUUGAAUUUUUAAAAUUGACAUCGAUAUCAUAAUCACAUGUCGGAAACUCGUAUGUCAAAAUUCCGACUCGAGUGUCAAAGAGUGUCGGAAAAGUUAACCAGGUGUCGAAUUUUCCAACACGUGUUGACCGAGUGUCGGAGAGUGUCAGACAUGUGUCGAAGUAUCCGACACAACAUGAAGGCUCUUGGAGAAUGUCAGUGCUUCAUAGGCCACCAUCAGCCCUUUGCCUACAUUUCCCGGAAUUUGUAGAGGGCGCCAUGACCCUCUGUCAUUGCAAGGCAGAGGGUUGCGCAACCCCUUGGCAUUGUCCUUGAGGGGUUACCAUGUUUGGAUAAGUUUCCUAUGUUCUUGGUCGGGUCUUGCCGAGUCGAGCCCAUAGUUUAUUUGUUUAGUUUUGAGCUGUUUUCUAUUUUGUUUCUGCGGAAAUUUAUUCGAGGGUUCUAGUUGAUCUAUAUAUAUAUAUAUAUAUAUAUAUAUAUAUAUAUAUAUAUAUAUAUAUAUAUAUAUUGUGAUAGCCUCCUCUCUUGUCCACAUCGCCUAGGGAGGGAGGUCUUGAUUAGCUUAUAAGGCUUGGGUCCAUUUAACCUGUGUAACGCGUUUUAAAGCCAUGAAGGAAAAGACCGUGGCUGGGAUGGCGGUUCGUCUGUGCCAGGACGGGUGACCCAAAGCGGACAAUAUUACACAGUGGAGCCCGAGAUGUUACAAAGCCAACUCCCGAGCGCGUGUGGGACCAUAGCUCGAAUGCUAUUCUGACGCCCAUGGCCAACUGCGUGUGGCAUGUGGGACCACAGCUCGAAUGUUAUUCUGACACCCAGACAAUAUUACACAGUGGGGCCCGAGAUGUUACAAAGCCGACUCCCGAGCGUGUGUGGGACCACAGCUCGAAUGCUAUUCUGACGCCCAUGGCCGACCGCGUGUGGCAUGUGGGACCACAGCUCGAAUGCUAUUCUGACGCUCGUGGGGCCACAACAAGGACGCUCUUCUGUUAAGAGGUGACAUCGCUUAGAUCCCUCUAACCUGUGUAACACGUUUUAAAGCUGUGAGGGAAAAGACCGUGGCUGGGAUGGUGGUUCGUCCACACCAGGGUGGGUGACCCAAAGCGGACAAUAUUACACAGUGGGGCCCUAAGAUGACAGUUCGUCCACUCUAGGGCGGGUGACCCAAAGUAGACAAUAUUACACAGUGAGGCCCGGGAUGUUACAUAUAUAUAUAUAUAUAUAUAUAUAUAUAUAUAUAUAUAUAUAUAUUGAAAAUUAAUAAAAUGGAGCAACAAAGACCUCUUGCUAUAGCCUCAUCGAUCCACGAAUGGAAUAAGGAGCGCGUUGUCCAUUGGAUAGUAAGGAGCACGUUGUCCAUUGGAUCCACGGCGAGUCUUCAAGAACACUUCCUCUUACGGUAGCAAUAAUUUAUCAAUCUAGGCUACAGAUGAUAUAAACUUAACGAAAUUUGCUCAUUUCUGGCCAAUAGGCCAAAAUUAUAUAGACCAGAUGAUAAAAAAAUUCAUGGAAUUCGUAACUGAGAUUUUCAUUUUAGAAGGAUUACACACAUAAAGUUUUGGGAAACUACGUUGCACUUUAGCACUGCGUUUAGACCUCAGGAAGAUGGUCAAUUAGAAAGCAAAAUCCGAACAUUUUAAAGUGAUGUUAAAGAGCAUAAGCGAUUGGCACGGCUAGACACAGGCCGAUAUAAUUUUCAAUUUUAAGCUAAAAAGGCAUCUAUUCUAAUUGAAGUCGUAAAUAAAAAAUCGUCGACACAUCUAAUUUAAAAUGUUGCCCUCAACAGAACUAAUCUAAAUCUUAUUAAAAUAUACUACAUCGCCCCCUUUCAUGUAUCUUAACUAUUAAAAGAAAAUUAACCCAACUUAACUAUUGUGGAAGUAUCACAAUACAUAAUUUAUUAAAAAAAACAUGGUUUAAAAUUUAAAAAAAAAAAAACACAUCUUUUUUUUUUCUUUCUGUAUCUCAAUGAAUUUCACAAAACAACAAAAAAGUUAAUUGAACGAGUGGUACUUUACAGUUAAAUUCCUUUUGCUUAUAUGAUCAAAUUAAAUCUUAGUAAAACACUACAAAACACUACAAACGGCCUUCCUUUUCCUUGCGUUUUAUGCUCUAAUUAACUUCAUUUUCGCUCCAAAAAAAAGUAACUUCAAUUCGCUGAUAUUGGAGCAUGUACUAUAUUAGACAAUCUUAUGCAUCAGAUUACUCGGGCCAUAUUUAUUUCUUAUGUGAUGCAUAAAUCAUGAAAGUACGAUUUAUAUUUAUGUUAUACAGAAAAAUGCAGUCAUCUAUUAUGUGCCUGAAUAACAUGAGAAGGGCCCCUUUUUCAGCUAGCAAUUUACUUUGACCUGACAAUUUUAGCUUGCACUUUAUUUUAUUCCUCGUCACGUUGAAAAUUGUCAUCUUUAGACGGUACUACAGAGCUACAAAACGACGUUCCUUAUAAGUUUACUGAUGAGGACACAGUAGGCAUAUAUGUCACAUCCAAAAAUUCAAUGUUGAGAACGAAGUCUGGGUGCCUUGUCGAGGACAUCAGUAGAGAUGUCUUUUUGGGAAGUUACCUAGAGAAAAUGGAAAAGGCAAAGGCAAAGGCAGAGGGAAAGGAAAAGGAGGAGGGAAAGUGUAAGACAACGAGGGGAAGAUUGCAGAGAAGAGGGUGAGGUAGAGAUUUUGGGUCCUUGUGUCGACCUAAGACCCGCAUUUGAGGAAUCGGGUGGAUUCACACUUGAAUGACCCUCUUGAAACAUCCUUGGGGAACCUUCAGCAUAAUUCUCGUAACGCUCCUCCCUCAUGAAAGCAACAAGCUGUGAAUUGUGAGAAUCACCCAUCAUUUGCCUCUCCAGGAUCUCCACGUACUCCCUCCACCAUUGCAUAUAGCUACUUUUCUCCAAAAAUAUGUCAGGGGAAACCUUGUACUUCUCGAUCAGACCCAGAACACAUUUCUCAAACUCCACCAGUUUCACUAUUUUGGAACCGUUUGAUGAUCCUCCGCUUUCCAGCAAACUGCACGACCGGAUGGCCUCCUCCACGUGUGCCCAAAAGCACAAAUCCUCCGUCACACUCGACUCGACAUUGUUCAAUUUCAAAUUCGAAAGGCCAGCCUUCUCCUGGUAUUUUUUUUUUUCCAGAUGAUCAUCCAGCCAUUCUUCUACCAGCCUGUAGUGUUUGGAUCUUCCUCGAUUUAUGUAAUCCUUUCGGCCCCUUCUGUAAUAUUCGGUUAUGUCCAGUGGUUCCACUAUCCUGCAGUAAUUUGUCCCUCCAAAGAGCCAACGGUACUGCAGUGGCGUGCCCCAUAUUUGAGGCUUCUUCUCCGCUUCUUUGACCACACCCUCCCAGUAAUCCGAGAGGAUUGUCUUGUACUUAUCAACUCCAUUGUCGUGCCUUUCUCGUGCAUUUUUGAAGCUGUCACAGAAACCAGGACCCCUGCCGUUGGCUUUGCAUACCUUCAUGUACCACUCCAAGAAAGGUACACUUUCAUUUGGUCCAAUUGCUUGGCAGGAACAAAUGCCUCUCUUUAUUGUCUUAAGACGUCUCUUUCACGCUUUACUAUUUCAUCUAUCAGAGCAUCACUGCCCUCAUUUAGCUGCUGUCACUGCAAUGAGAGUCCACUCAAUCAAAGUUUAUAAAUAUUCAUAACAUUUAGAAGCUUCCAACUUCAGCAAGUUUUCCUUUUAUCCUGCUAAAAUUCUGAAUUAGUCUAUCCGCAUUUUAAUUAGGUAAAAACAUGGUCAAUGGCAAAAGUGAGAUAUAUGUGUGGUUCCAAGCAGCACAACUAUCUGCUAAAAAGCAAACUUCUCCUUGAUGGAAUGUAACCAUGAGAAGAAGGUCAAGUUCAGAUACCUGUAUUGGCUUGAGGCCGACCACUAUGACUUGAGUAGUAACCCCAGCUUUAUACGAACAUGCUUCUUGCCCAUUCAACCAUGAACAAUCAUUGUGAAUUAAUCUUUGCUCUAGCCAUCCAAUGACAGUCUUAUAAUCAACACUUCGGGACUCUUCUGUUUCCAACAGCAAUUUCCAAGAUGAGCAGCUCCAUGAUGGACUCGGGCUUCAAAACAGGUACCACCUGAUUCAGAACACAAAAGGAAGGUACCAAAAGGUUUGUAUUGACUUGAGUUAGUGGUGGAAGGGUGAAGGAAUGGUCUAGGAAAACAAUCAUCCGUAUGAGCUACAUGCAAGAAGCACAAAUUCCAUGUUAAAUAUUGCGAUACAGCUUGUCGGAAGGCAUUGUCUCUGAGGAGUGGUGAAUUGCAAGUGAUACAGAGGGGGAGUGUUCCCUUUGUUGUGUCGAGUGUGUUUAAGGCCAUAACAUGAAAUGGGAGGUGAUGAAUCCACCCGUUCAGUGUCCUGUAAUAAUAUAGGGAACUGAGUCCUUAGACUUGGCUGAAGCUACAACCUGCGUUGAAGCAGAAUAAGCAUCAAUUCAUAUUCUCAACUUAUAGGUGCCAAGUACAGUCUUUCAGAUGAGAUAAAUAUGCACAGUUAAUAAAUGAAAUGAAACUCUGCGCAAUCAUAUGAUUCAGUUAAAUGAAAGAUUCAAUUUAUAGGGAUUUUCGCAACUAUGCUCAAAACAAUGAGAAAAAUCAUUUCCAUAGCAGAACAGUGCUUCACUUCUCAUCUAAUAGGCUUAAUGAUAGGUGGUGAACAACUCGAAACUCCUCAAUUGUAGCAAUUAUUAGCAUGUCUACUUCAACAACGAUUUCUGUAAGCAGCAAUUCCUAGAUACAUGCGUACUUAUGAUCUCACAGCCGAUAAUAGUAAUAACUAGAAUGGAUAACUUGAGAGAAUAUAUAGAAUUGCUACCUUUUCUUUGAGUCGAGAGAGCUCGUUUCGAAGAGAGUUAAACAGAGAAAUCACAGCUUUGUUUAUAUGAAAAGUUGGAUUGGUUUUGGAGCAUAGGAACUGAAAGUUGGGGAUCUUCAAUGAAGGAACCAAAUCUCUUUCCUCUUCAAGACUACCUGUAGUAACCGGUGAGGUGACAAAGGUAAUGAUAUUGUAGUUCAGGCAGUGAAAUUCAUUGAUUAUUACAGGGUUAUCCCUAUCUGAUCGGAAAGUCGCGGAUUUAAGUCAUGGAAACACCCUCUUUACACAACGCAAGAGGAAGUGUUGGUUGAUUCGCCGCUCUCCAUUAAUCCUGAAGAAGAUAUGAUGACACAGCCAAGUUUGCCAAAUACAGUCCAUCGCUGAAUCUGCAGAUCAAGAAAACAACAUACUACUCGUCAAGAACGUGGAUUAUCGGUAAAGUCGAUGCAAAAUGCAUUCUCUCCACCGAUUGCCGAACCUGGAUUUCUGUCUCAGAAAUAAAAGGCAAAGGAAAGAAAAUUUCUUUACGCACAGAGAAUCUAUAUCUCGGUCCAUUCUCAGAGCUUCGUUGGAUCUGCGCAGACACAGCUAUUUAACAUCGUGCCUCCAUUUUUAACCUGAUUCCAGAAACAAAAAAUGCAAGUGCCAGCUUGCUUAAUAUAUCUUCCAAAUCACCCAGCCGGUAUGAGUGAGAUAUGGAUUUGAUGAAAACUUACGGAAAAAAUCAUAGGUUCGCGUUCACUGAUUUUUUCAAUAGAGAUUGAUCAAUAGACUUGACCAUUGACAUUUUAAUUGUGAUGGUGAUUAAUCGAGUAUUUUUUACUUGUUUAUAACUUUGUUGAAAUGAAAUUACUCAUAUGUCAUUUAUGUAAUUUUACCUUGAAUUUGGAUUAUAGAGUUUUGGUAUUAUUAUGUAUAUAUACAUAGUGAUUGUUCGAUUUACUUAGAAAAGAUAUACUACUCACUGAACUGUGGUUACUUAUUUCACUCAUUUUUCAUGUUUUUCAAGCUCCUCGACUAGCGGCCAAUAGUACAAGAAUGCUAUCGACGGGACUUUCGGGAGUAUGAUUUCGAUAUGAGCUUAGCUAGUUUUUUUUUUUUUUUUUUUUUUUUUUUUUUUUUGUAGAUAGUUGUUGGGUUGGCUGGAUUCUAAAUUGAACAUAUUCUUUAUGAUAAUGAUAGAAAUUAUUAUAUUGUAACCAACCUGUUAUUUUAUUCAAUAUAUAUGGAUGGAGAUAUAUGUUAUUGUUAAUAGGUUAUUGGUUAUGUUUGACACAAUGUCCUUCAUUCAUACGAGAGGACGGUUGUGUCAUCCUUUUUCUUAUUGGUUUCAGGACGUGAUAUAUGAUAUGGUGGUUGACUCUAUCAAGAGUGAAACAUCCUAAAUUGGAUCUUCCGUAAUUGUUGUCUAUGGCAUCCCCAAGAGUCAUGAACUUGCAUUGGAUGUUAUAAUUUUUUUUUUUUUUGUGCUGGAGGAACCGGCUUGCAGCCGACAGCCGCGCCGUAAACCCCCAGGUGACACUUAAGCAGGAGGACCCACCACCCCUGAGUCACACUUAAUACACCUAGCGCCUCCCCUGGAUUUUGAACCCUUCACCUAUUCGUUGAGGAUCAGCAGAGCCUUAACCAGUGGAGCCACCGCGGCCGGUGGUUGGAUGUUAUAAUUAUUUGUCAUCGUUUUGUGGUCGGUAAGAGGGUAUGCGCAAUCCGGUCGGUGAACUUCGGAUUUUAAUCAUCGAACGCGCUCAAAUUUCAGCUGCCAACGUAGUGUCUAACUUGGGCCAGCGUAAGCCCCAAGAAAAAAAAAAUAUAUUGAUAUAAUAAAAAUAAAGAUAAAAAAGAAACAAAAAAUGGGUAGAGAGCCAUUAAGAACAUGUGGGCCGAAAGUUAAAGAAAGAAGCAAGAAAAUGAGUACCCUCCAGAAGCAAGAAAAUGAGUACCCUCCAGUUAAUUUGUUUAGUUUUUUUCUUUAGUUCAUUAGUUAAUAAAAAUCAAAUUGUUGAUGUGCUUGCGAAAAAAAAAAGAAAGCAAAAUUUCUUAGAGCUUAGAAAUAAGCUUAUAAAAUCAAAUACAUCUCAUGUGCAAAUCUAAAAUACAUACAAUGAAUCCAUCUUAUUAGAUAAACGCAUAGUGGUGCUCCUGAGCUCUUUCAAUGUGUGGUUGACAUUUGGUGUUCUUCAUGAGUGACAUCUUUCUUUACUUUCUUUAGAAAAAUUUUCCUUUUAUUUUUUUUAUUUUACUUGAACUAAAAAAUUUCCGUCUUAAUUUAAGAGGUAUACGAUUACUUUUGAUAUCACGCAAAUCCCUUAUUCUUGUGAUGAUUGAGUAUAAUUAUAUCAGUUUACUCCAUUCACUAGACAAUGCCAAGAAGGCACCACCCAGCACUUUGUCGAGUUUGGAAUACUUGUCAAAAUUACAUAUCAAAAGGUGCGGUGAGCUAAUAGAAAUCAAGGGUUUGAAAGGGCUAAAAUCCUUAGCAAAACUAAAAGUAUCUACAUGUGAGAAGUUGUUCGACAUCAAGGGCCUUGAACCCCUAAAGUCUUUGAGACCUUUGGAAUUGUCUGAUUUCGAGUCAGAUGCUUUACCAGUGAUUAAUGAUCUAUUUCAAGUUUAAGGCCUUGACAAAUUGAAAAACUUCAACGAGCUACUUUUCUAAAGGUGCCAGCCCCUUAUGAGGCUGGACCUUUCGCAAUUAAGAUAUCUGAAAUUUUUAAGAGUUGAAAAAUGUCAUAAUCUAGUCGAAAUUAGGGGCCUCAAGGGAGAUUUGGUCACCUAUGGGGGCCUUCCUAUGCCGUCAUCUAUAGUUGGUCUAAAGAUGUCUAUCGCAGGAUUAAAUACGCGGUACAAGACGGCCGAGAAUUUUUUUUCCUAUUAUAUGGAGGGCAACAAAUACUUAGCGCAUGGUUACUCUUAUUUAAGACAAAAGAAAGUGGAAAUUUGAAGGGCCCAUGCGCAUGUCUCUCGCGCCCAUUUUUCUCCCCAUGCGCAUGCAUGCCCACAAAAAUAGCCAGGCGCCUUGCGAGAAAAAUAUUGUGCAGGCCCGGCCUCUCCACGUAAUCGUGGGCGGGCCCAUCCACGUGGCGUCAUGUGUCGUCCAAUCAUGGUCCCAUUGUCUCUCUCCAUCUUGAGUCCUCUCUCUUCAUCAAAGACAUCUGUGUCCUCCCUUUCCCCCUCUUCCUUCGUUUCAAAAUUUCACUCCCUUUCUCCCUCUCUCCUGCGUGUGAAGACACUCUCCUCCUUUUUUUUCUCGUGUAUUUUGGCUUCAAAGAUAGAUGUGAAUUCUCCUCAAAACCACGGGCAGUUUUUUUUUUUUUUUUGGUCAGCUCCCACAAGAAAACAUCCCUCCUCAAAACCAGUUGCCAUGCUCGCUAUACAUCCUGAAAUGAGUUUUUUUUUUUUUUAAAUGGAAUCUUGCACCCAUGGAUGAGGCUUUCCUGGCUUUUGGUGGUGCAUUUCGGGAUUUCUUGAGGUUUCGCUGACUUAGGUAUGUUCUUUUUAUCUGUUGGGCUGUGUGGGAAUACCUCUGUUUUUUCAUUGCAUGGGAAAAAAGUCUGGUUCUGGGCAUUUGACCAGGUCAAAGAAAGUGUCUCUUGACAGAAUGUGAAAUGGAGAUUUGAGAAAAGCUUUUUCUCUGUAUAUUCAUUGUGUAUAUUUACAUUUCACUGAUGAACUUAAAAUGUAAGAGACAAAGGAAUAAAACAGGAAAAAAUAACAAAUGAAUCUCUAUUUUCCUAUUUACCAAAACUAAUCCACGGAAUCGGAAUCUUCAAGAUAUAUUUCCAACACUCCCCCUCAAGCUGGUGGCCUGUAGAUGUCAAGGAUACCAAGCUUGCUCAAUAGAUAUCCAUGCUGUUUCCGACAUAACGCUUUAGUAAAGAUGUCUGCAGGUUGCUUCGUUGUUCCGAUUCCUUUUGUCACCAGGACUCCAUCUUUGAUCCUAUCCCGAGUGAAAUGACAAUCCACUUCUAUGUGUUUUGUUCUUUCAUGAAAGACUGGAUUUGCCGCUAAUUUGAGUGCAGCAUCAUUAUCACAAAACAAUUCAGUCGUUCCACUGACUUGUAUUCCGAGAUCCAGGAGUAGUCCUCAUAUCCAGACUAUUUCACAGGUAGCCUUUGCCAUGGCCCGAUACUCUGAUUCUGCGGAUGAUAGUGAGACAGUUGACUGUUUCUUUGUCUUCCAAGAAAUUAAUGACUUUCUCAGCUUUAUGUAGAAACCAGUAAUAGACCUCCUGGUCAUUGGACAGGUGGCAUAAUCUGUGUCGCAAAAAGCUGUCAUCUUCAUAUUGCAGUCACGGGAUAGAAGUAUACCAAGGCCUGGACAUCCCUUUAGAUACUUCACAACUUUCAAUGCCGCAUCCAUAUGUGAUUGCUUUGACAUAUGCAUGAACUGGCUGAGUAUUUGUACGGCAUAUGAUAUGUCAGGUCUUGUCAUUGUAAGAUAUAUCAACUUUCCGACAAGUCGCUGAUAUUCUGAAGGAUCUUUGAGCACUGAGUCCUUAAUGUUUGAAGGAGAACUUAUGUCAUAUUCAUGCGUUGUCAACUUGACAUUCUGCUCAACUGGAAUGACUGCUGGUUUACAUCCCGAUAGACCUGCUUCAGAAAUAAUCUCCAAGAUAAACUUCCUUUGACUGAGGCAAAUUCCUUCAUUGGACCGAGCAAUCUCGAUGCCAAGAAAAUAUUUUGGCAGUUCCAAAUCUUUGAUGUGAAAGGUGGAGUGUAAAUAUCUUUUGAAUUUGGCAACAUCAGAAUCAUUAUUUCCCAUGACAAGUAUAUCAUCAACAUAUAUCAACAGAUAAAUUGAUGAUGCUUUUGUAGUACGGGUAAACAAGGCAUAAUCAUACUUAGAAUGCUCAAAACCUGCAUUGGUUAGUGCAGCAGUGAAUUUGGCAUACCAUUGUCUUGAUGCCUGUUUUAAUCCAUAUAAGGAUUUGCGAAGACAACAUACUCGAGACUCCCCCUGUCUGCGUAAUCCUUGAGGAAUAUCCAUGUAGAUUUCUUCAUCGAGAUCACCGUGGAGAAAAGCAUUAUGCACAUCCAUCUGAUGGAGAGACCAAUUUCGUAUGGCAGCGACGGAUAAGAAGGAACGUACAGUGACUUCUUUAGCUACUGGGGAAAAGGUUUCAUGGUAAUCAAAACCCUCUUUUUAAGUGAAUCCCUUGGCAACUAACCGAGCCUUAUAGCGCUCAAUAGAACCAUCUGUCUUGAAUUUGAUUUUGUAAACCCAUUUGCAGCCAAUCGGUUUCCGUCUUGGUGGCAAAGGGACAAUAUCCCAUGUGUGAUUCUCCAUCAAAGCAGUAAGUUCGGAUUCCAUCGCAUGUUGCCAUCUAGGGUCUCGUGCUGCCUCAGCGAAGGAGAAUGGUUCUCGUUCUUCAGAUAUGCGACUUAUACAGCACAAAUGUCCUGGCGAUAACUGAUUAAACGAUACAUAUGAGCCAAUGGGAUAUUGUGUACCUAAAGAACUUCUUGCAGAACAUAUGUAAUCCUUUGUCCAUGUAGGUGGACGAGUGUGCCUUCCAAAUCGUCGAGGUGGCUCGAGGAUUGGUGCUGGAGGAGCCGAUGAUUCAGGGAGAAUGGGUGAAGUAGCUGUUGGUAUAGGAGAUUGGGAAAUGUCUUCAGAUAAUCCUGGCGAAGUUGCUUCUGAAGGUGAUAAUUCCAUUGAUGCAGACCAAGGUGGUCCUGAUGAUAUGGGUGGUCCUAGUGCAAUAAGACACCCUGGUGCUGAGGACAAAGAGUCAUCGGACAAAAAUAGUAUGUCGUGUCCUAAUGGUAAAGAGGACUCUGAUGAAGAAACCUUUUCCUCAAAAGGAAAUAUGUCUUCAUGGAAUACAACAUCCCUGCUAAUGAAAAAAAUCCCUGUAGAGAUCUCCAUAACUCGAUAUCCUUUCUGAAGAGAAGAAUAUCCCAUAAAAACGCACCAAGUGGCUCGAGGCCCCAUUUUAUCUCGAGGACCCACAUUUUUUGUAUAGCAUAAACAACCAAAUACUUUAAGAUGAUUAUUAUCAGGCUGUCUGUUGUAAAGCAUCUCAAAAGGGGUCCUACCAUUAAGAAUUCGAGUUGGCAUGCGAUUAAUCAAGUAAGCUGCUGUGACCACACAAUCUCCCCAAAAAUCUUCUGGAAUGGAAGCUUGAUAUUUUAGAGCACGAGCAACCUCUAACAGAUGCCUAUGUUUGCGCUCAACAAUACCAUUUUGUUGCGGAGUGUAAGUGCAUGAACUUUCAUGAAGUAUACCAUGGGAAGAUAGAAAUGUGUUGCAAUCAGAAGUGAAAAAUUCACGCCCAUUAUCUGUACGAAUUUUUUGUACAGAUUUACCAAACUGAUUUUUAAUUAUGGAAAUAAAGUUUGAUAGAUGACCAAAAGUUUGGCUUUUCAAUUGCAUAAGAUAAACCCAUGUGACUCGAGUGUAAUCAUCAACGAUUGUUAGGAAGAAUCGAGAUCCAUCACGGUGAAGAGUAUGAUAAGGUCCCCAAAUGUCCAUAUGAAGUAAAGAGAAGGACUCUGUUGUACGAGAUGUACUUUUCGGAAAAGGUGCUCGAGAUUGUUUAGCUAAAGGACAUAUUGGACAUUUUGGAUGAGGAAAAGAAGCACUGUGACCCAAUCGUUGAUGAGAAAGGAGAUUUUUAUUUGAACUGAUAGCAUUACAAGAAACAUGCUUAUUUAAUAAUUCUAAAUCUCCUGGGGAAUUGUUCCAGAAAUAGAGUCCAUCUACCACACUACCCAAGGCCAUCACUCUGCCAGUCGAAUGGUCCUGAAAAAGACAAUUGUCGGAAUUGAAUGUGGCAUGGCAAGAGUUAUCCUCACAUACUCUUGAGACAGACAAAAGAUUGAAUUCAAAUUCUGGAAUAUAUAGGACAUUUUUCAGGAUUAAAUUUGGACCAAGAUGAACGGUGCCGGUUUGGGUAACAUUUGUGAUGUUCCCAUUUGGGAGACGGACCGUGAUAGGAGAUUCUGGCAUUUUAUAUGUGUGAGAAAAAAAAAUCUGUUGCAUACUAUGUGGUCACUAGCAUCUGAAUCGAUAAUCCAUACAUCAACCAAAAACGAAUUCUUAUUGUAUAGGAAAGUACCUGAGAAUCCUGCACUUUUAUCACUAGUCUUGAGUUGAUCCAGCAUUUGUACAAUAUUCUGAUAUUGUUCUUGAGUGAUCAUCUGGUGAGGUGAUCCAUCUGCCUUUUGUACAAAAACUUGGGAAAUAAUGGAUUCUCUCUUUUUGUCAUUAGGCUUUCCAUGCAACUUCCAACAGGUCUCAAUGGUAUGAUGUGGACGUUUACAGUAGCUGCAAUAUUUAUUUUUAAAUAUGGAAUUCUGCCCACUGACCUUUCUUGCUGACGUGGCACGAUCCCAGCCGUCCGAUUCUGAUGAAGCUGCGAAUAGAUGAUGGCCGUCCGAUCCAGCGCGUCGAUCUCGUCCGUCCAAUCCAGCGCGUCGAUCUCGUCCGUCCGUUCCAGCACUGAGAUCCUAGCCGUUCGAUCCAGCGCGCCGAUCUCGUCCGUCCGUUCCAGCGCUGAGAUCCCAGCCGUUCGAUCCAGCGCGCCGAUCUUGUCCGUACGUUCCAGUGCUGAGAUCCCAGCCGUCCGAUCCAGCGCGCCGAUCUGAGCCGUCCAUCUUGGAUCGGCGAUCCCAGCCAUCCAUUCCAGAUUUUUGAUCCGAGCCGUUAGAUCGAAAUGUUUUAGGGUUUCCUCUGGUUCUCCUCGCCGUAGCCGCAGCCACGAUUUUUCUCUCCAGAUCUGUGGAGUUUCCGCCGAGAGUUGUAUCGCCGGAGGGAAGAACGGCCAAGCUCAGGCCUUCGCCUAUUCGAGCGUGUCCAGCGGCGGCCAUCCGAUGAUGCUCCUCUUGGACGGCCAACUGGUAAAUGCGACCGAGCGGUGGUGGGGGGUCCAUCGCGAGGAUUUGCGAUCGGAAAGCCGAGAAGGAUUCGUUUAAAAUUAGUAAGAACCUCGUCAUUUUCUCCCUUUCUUUAAUUUUUCGGUACUGUUGGAUGGUUUCUUCAGGACCUUCGAGUCGUUCUUCGGCGGCCUCAAGCUCAUUCCAUAGAGCGGAGAGGCGGUUGAAGCAGGAGGUAACCGAGAGGUUCCCCUGCUUCAACUCCGACAGGGCUUGGGUGACGGUGAACAGUUUCGCCCGGUCGAGGCGUCCGUACAUCUCACGGAUGCUGUCCCAGAGAGUGUGAGAGUCUUCGGUUGGUGGGAGUCCGGCAGCGAUUUUCGGUGCGAGGCAGUUCCCGAGCCAUGUGCGAACCAGUUGGUUGCACUUGCACCACUGCCGUUGAAGACGUUCGUCGGCCGGAAAAGGAACGGCUCCGUCGAGGAAGCUGUCCUUGUCUUUGGUGAUAAGGGCGCGCUGGAGAUCUCUUGCCCAGGCCGCGUAGUUCUCCGCUCCGGUAAGCUGCAUCCCGAGGAGCUUCAAUUCGGGUCCAUCGGCCGGCGACGUGUACAGAGGGUCGCCGGGUUCAAGCCGGCCGCCACUGCCAACCGGAAAAAACAACGGUGCAUAUCCGAGUUGAAAUCCCGGGUAGGGAUUCGAACCCGGGAUAGAUCCGGAUCCCUGACCCGGCGGUGUGUAUCCGGGUUGAAAACCCGGGUAGGGAUUCGAACCCGGGAUGGAUCCGGAUCCCUGACCCGGCGGCGUGUAUCCGGGUUGAAAUCCCGGGUAGGGAUUCGAACCCGGGAUAGAUCCGGAUCCCUGACCCGGGAUGGAUCCAGAUUCCGGAGCGAAAUUCGUUUGGCCCGAUGUCUCUGUGGGGCCUGUUACGGACUGCGACGGCCCAAAAGGAAGCUGGGUCCAUACCUGUCCUGGCAAUGGGCCAAAAGGAUACUGGUUCCACAGCUGUCCAUAUGCUGGAGGAAAGGUUGGAGGCCACUGGACUGGGCCGGAGGUCUGGCCCGACGCUGGAAUCAAUUGUGCAAAAAGGGUUUCUUCUGAUGGAUGAACAGAGGUUCGGUCGCCGCCAAGAGAGACAACCGGAUCUGAGGUAGGUGUCUCCUCUGUUGAGGAAUUCUCAACAUUUUUCGUCAUGGCACCAAGAAAAUUGAAUUCCUAAUCGUUUUGCUGGUCUGUUUCGCAGGUGGAGAUUAUGCAACAACAGGCCAGAAAAAGAACGAUGGCAAUUCAAAAAAAAUGCGGAAGCUAGGUCAGGAGUAUCGGCUCUGAUACCAUGACAGAAUGUGAAAUGGAGAUUUGAGAAAAGCUUUUUCUCUGUAUAUUCAUUGUGUAUAUUUACAUUUCACUGAUGAAUUUAUAAUGUAAGAGACAAAGGAAUAAAACAGAAAAAAAAAAAUGAAUCUCUAUUUUUCUAUUUUCCUAUUUACCAAAACUAAUCCACGGAAUUGGAAUCUUCAAGAUAUAUUUCCAACAUCUCUGUUGGAAAAAUUGAGAAUAGGAGUUUCAUUUCUGAGAGGGAAGGAAGACUCGUAGCAGUGAACUGAAGAUAAAAAUGUCUUCUGUUCUAUAUUAUGUUGGUGGCGUGAUCUUUGGAGGCAUUUGGGCAUUGAAGAUUCGUUGAUGGAACCCAGAUGGAGAGAGCCAAGCUCGAGAACGAGAGAAUGGUGCUUCUCAUCCACCAGAAGGAGCUCCAAUUUGCUCGAUCUUCAACAGCAGCAGCAACAUUCAUCCAAUAGGAGGAGUGGUGGCAGCGAUGAGGGUUGAAAGGCGAAGGAUUUUGAAAGAAAUUAAAAGCAAAAAACUCCGGCUCACGCAAAGCCUCGCUCCAAUUCAAAAAUUGUUUCGAUUGUGCCUUUCGUUUGACCUCCGUGAUUGGGCCAAGGCACGGUGGCACUGCUGGACGGUGGCUCUGCGACCAGGAAGAAAGCUCCGACCACCAACCCAAUCGUGGCCAAUUCGAGGGUGGAGACGCUGUGACUUGAUCGAUGGAGGAUUGAUAGCUUUGGACCCUAUUCUUACACAAGACAUGUGUGUCUGCUUGUUCCAUGAGUUAUGGAGGAUUUCUAAAGAACAACCACCUCUCGCUCAAUUCGUAGUGCAUGCUGGUGGUUUAAUUGACUGAAAACUGAAAAGUGGUAUGUGCAAGUCUGGUAUGUGCAAGUCUGAUACCAGUGGAUGCCUUAAGGCUUUUACUUUAUUUCAAGGACUGAGAAAAGGGCACUAGCAAUCACGGUAUUUUCACUCUGGCCUCGGUUAGUUCUCUGUAAUUGGGAUAUGCUUCGAGCUUUCCCUUUGUUCAAGACUUUUUUUUCUGCUUGGAUGCUUUUUCGUGUUUGAUUUAUCGAGGAGACUAAGGUGAUUUGUGUAGUUCCCUUCCUUUUCAUUCAGAUGUAAGUUGAUGACUGUGUGUGAGUUGACUAUGAGAAGUUGAAUUAGCUUGUGAAAAUCACUAGCCUACUGUUUGUUUGCACCUUUCAGCUAGAUCGAGAAUUUGAAUUCUAUAACUAUGACAGGCCAACAAAAAUUGGUUCAUUCUUGACACAUAGAUCACCAACCACCAACAAGAUAACUUGCGUUGGUUCUGUGAGAUGAGGUAUUGAAUGUUAAAGCUACUACUAGAUUGUGUUUCCUGAGUAUAAAAUGCAGGUGCCUGUGUAGUCUGCCUUCUUGUUUUUGGAGUGCUUUUGGCGUGGACUUUAUUCAGGAACAUUCACCAUGGUUUGGAUCCCUGACCUACAUAAUGCAAUACAAGGGGGAAAAUGAUUUUUUGUUGUUAUCUAAACAUCUCUAAACUCUCGUCAUCAUAUUGAAAGCUAAUUUAUCAAUUCCCUAUGCUCGGUCACCAUUGCUAAUUUUUUUAAAAGAUUUUUUAAUCCUUGUACUGAUCUUCUGUGCAUCUUACUCUAAUAUUUGGUUCAUGUCCAUUCAUCAGUGAUUUUUCUAAUGUAUCUUGCCUGAUGCUGUCAAAAUAUUCUAAAUCUCCUUCUCUUUCAUACCUGUCUUUUUUCUUUUGAUGUUUUAUCUCUGACUUUAUUCGGCAGGAAUUCGUUUUUACAUAGAAGAUGGCAAGCCCAGAAGAAAACAAUGAUGUGAAAACUCUGGAAACACAGCCCGAUAAGCGGAGAAACAAGAAGUCCAUCAUCUGGGAACACUUCACAAUAGAAAUUAUGAGUCCUGGACGUAUAAGGGCAUGCUGUAAGCAGUGCAAGCAAAGUUUUGCCAAUGGCACAGGCUCAAAGGUCAUUAGCACCAGCCAGCAAAGUAAGUUAACACAAUGCUUCAGGGGUAGUCAUGUUCUGGAUCAUUGGAGGCAUUAAAAUGGAUCACGGUGCCUCAUCAAAUUUUACAAACCUUAAAAUGAUCUUACCAAUGUUCCAAUGAAUAAGUUAGCAACCAACAUUUUCUCAAGUUUUACAAGUGUAGCACUCUAAUAAAUUUACAAAUAUGUCAAUAAAUUAGUAAGUUUGUAACAACUAAAAAUUUUCUAUAGUUAGUGUUAACAAAAUUUUUUUGGUCAUAAGCAAGCUUUUCAUUCACUGAGUACAGGCCCAAUUACAUGAAAAAGGGGCAUCAAUUGGUUUACGGCAGACCCAUCAAUUAGUUUCCCCUCGAAAUCACGGCAGAUGCAUGCCAUGGAACCUUUGGAAGAUCCUUCAUGGAAAGUUAUGUCAAUGUUUGGCUUGAGAACUUGGUAGUUUCCAUCUUGUGGGUAAGUGUCUUGGGCUGCUUCUAUUCUCUUAUUCUCGGCCAUUCCAUUUCGAGAGAUUCAUAUGCAUAGCCAUGAUAGACGCCAUUGUUGUUGCAGGAUCUGGUAAGUGAUGCUUGAAAAUAAAGGAAUAUCUUUAUGUCCAAAUAUGCCAAAAAGUGACCGCGAUCAGUUCAAAAGAUGGGGAGCUUUGAGGUGAUUACCAAUCUCCAAUGGCCAUCCUUCAAUUCAAAUAACUUCUUGAUUUGAAAUCUCAAUGCCUAUCUCAGAGGCCAACCUUAUCUGUUUCGUCCUUUGACAAAGAAGGAACAGAUGUUUGACAGUAUCAAGUUCCUUUUCGCAAAGAGAGCAUCUCGACUCAGGUACAAUCUUCCUUCUGAAUAGGUUUUCUCUUGUGGGUANNNNNNNNNNNNNNNNNNNNNNNNNNNNNNNNNNNNNNNNNNNNNNNNNNNNNNNNNNNNNNNNNNNNNNNNNNNNNNNNNNNNNNNNNNNNNNNNNNNNNNNNNNNNNNNNNNNNNNNNNNNNNNNNNNNNNNNNNNNNNNNNNNNNNNNNNNNNNNNNNNNNNNNNNNNNNNNNNNNNNNNNNNNNNNNNNNNNNNNNNNNNNNNNNNNNNNNNNNNNNNNNNNNNNNNNNNNNNNNNNNNNNNNNNNNNNNNNNNNNNNNNNNNNNNNNNNNNNNNNNNNNNNNNNNNNNNNNNNNNNNNNNNNNNNNNNNNNNNNNNNNNNNNNNNNNNNNNNNNNNNNNNNNNNNNNNNNNNNNNNNNNNNNNNNNNNNNNNNNNNNNNNNNNNNNNNNNNNNNNNNNNNNNNNNNNNNNNNNNNNNNNNNNNNNNNNNNNNNNNNNNNNNNNNNNNNNNNNNNNNNNNNNNNNNNNNNNNNNNNNNNNNNNNNNNNNNNNNNNNNNNNNNNNNNNNNNNNNNNNNNNNNNNNNNNNNNNNNNNNNNNNNNNNNNNNNNNNNNNNNNNNNNNNNNNNNNNNNNNNNNNNNNNNNNNNNNNNNNNNNNNNNNNNNNNNNNNNNNNNNNNNNNNNNNNNNNNNNNNNNNNNNNNNNNNNNNNNNNNNNNNNNNUUGGGGAGCGCCCUUUUUUUUUUUUUUUUUUUUGAAAAACCCCCUCCCCAAGGGUGUUUCCCAAAUGUGUGCCCCUUUUUUCCCCAUGUAAAAAAAUUCAUUAAAGUUAAGUCCCCCCCCCCCCCCCCCCCCCCCCCCCCCCCAACCAACAAACCCCCAACCAAAUUGAAGGAAGCUGGUUUUGGAGGUUGAUUAUUGGAGGGUGUACGAAGGUAAUUCUCAUCUGUUUUCUACUAUCUGUACAAAUUAGGUCAAACAUUUCAUUGUGACUGAGUCCAUUGUUGGCACCACCCUGUCAAUUGGUAAAAUUGCUGAUCCCCCUGCUAUUCCAUUUGAAGUCAUCACCGCACAGUUCUGGAAUUGGAUUUGUUUCAAGCUCAUACCACAGGUUCUUGACUCUUUGUGCUCAUCAGAAAAAUAAUGCCAGGCCUUUCCAGAGCCUCAAUGCCAAGAUUGUCUAGGGUGUGCCCAACCACUGAUAAUUCCAGCAUAAAAUUUUCAUGGGAACCUCAAUGGCUUAUUAGUGCUAGCCACCAAAGCCCGUAUUUGAGGAUCCUCCCAAAUCUGAAUUGAAGUUUCCAAAAGUUUGGUCUCAUCCAAGGCAAGAGAGUUCACCUUUUGAGAAGCAUAAAGACUAUACCUUCACUGUGUUUUGUCUCCGCCUGUUUUCUUCAUCUUGCUACAUUUCUUUUGGGGCCCUUUUGAGCUGCCUUCUAGCAUUGUAGAGUCGUUUGGAGCUGUUAUCAGCAUCAAGCUCUUUUCUUAGUUUNNNNNNNNNNNNNNNNNNNNNNNNNNNNNNNNNNNNNNNNNNNNNNNNNNNNNNNNNNNNNNNNNNNNNNNNNNNNNNNNNNNNNNNNNNNNNNNNNNNNGGUGUGGGGUGGUUUUGUAUGGGUUUGCUAAUUGGGCGAGGAUUAACCAGGACUGUUCCUUUCAGCUAAUAUGAUGGUCAUUGAUUCCAUGCCUUGUAGGGCAUGAUGCUAUCAAAGGGAGAUCGGGUUGUAUCAGAAGUUGGGUUUGGGUUAGCUUAUGGAACAGUGAAUAUGGUUCAUGGGAAGGUUGGGGAUUUUGCGUAAAGGGUCAAAGUUGAAAAGGAAAUGGGAGAUUUUCAUCUUGGUAAAGAGUAGAUGAAAUGACUGCUUUAUUCAGCGAAGAACAUCAGGGUUUUCUGGGGUGAAAACUGCCACCGUUGGGGUAGGAUUCCCACCGAGAGAGGAUAUCCACGAAUUCCAACUCAAUUAGGUAAAAUUUUGGUGGAAAAGGUGCAAAAUGAUACAUUCCAAAGACACGGCGAACGGGUUUAAAUUUACAUUCCUAUUUGAAGUUCAUAUUUCUACAAGCCAAACACAUGUUCAAGGGAACAAGAAACCGGGAAUGAAAAAUUUCCCUUUCCAUUGAAAAUAAAAAUUGCAGACUUUGUCAUUGACCAUAAGGCUCCUUAGAACUUCAAUGUGGGUUUUCUAGUUCUUUUCUUUAAUUUGUAGUUUUCAUUUUGGGCUGAGAAUUGGAACGCCGUUGUCACGCUUUAUGCAGCAAUUGUUGAGGCCACCGCAAGGUCUCCAUCCUGAACAUCUAUUUAUUGUAUAGAAGCCCACAGUACUUGCCAUAUUUCAGUGAUGCAGGCACCAUGUCAUUUUUGAUAAUAAUUGUUCUCAUGUUUAGCAGUAGUUGAUCAACCACAAAAAAAAGCCCGACAUUAAUGGAAGAUCCUUCGUCACACUAUGCACAAAAUGAAGAAGAAAAAAGUUGAGUUCUUUCUAGAGAAGAGCAAGCACCACUGCAUGCACGAGCAGAAUUGGGAUUCGCAUUUUCUGCUACGUCCUUUGCUCUUGGAAACUAUUCUUUUGUGUAAGAAACAAUGCUGCCGCUGAAGCCUGCAAACUUCGAAAGAGCCUGAGCUUUCACGCAUGACUUCAAUAGCUCCUCAUCUUAAUGCUCUUGGGAAAGCGUCUAUCUAUUGUACGCCUCUUAAAUAGCUCCCUUCCAUUAUUACUAUGGGUGAGCAGCAAAAGCAUCUAUCUAUCGAACACCUCCCAAAUAGCUCCCUCCUAUUAUUAUUAUCCUUGCUAUUUCCCACACAGUAGCCUCAACAAAUAGACAUUGAUUUAUAAUAAUUGUUUUCAUCCAAAUUACGGUAUCUCUUUUAUGUUGCUUGCCUCCUUUCAAAAAUUGCAAAUUGGCACAAGAAAAAUUAUAAAUGAGCACAAUAUGAGAUUCCAUAAUUAAAUUGUUUAUGAUAAAAAAAAUCGCAAAAAUCAAUAUUACUUGGAACAGUCGGCCCGAAAGUUAAAGCAAAGAGGCAAGAACAUUUCUUUCCCUCACGGAUGGACGAGCCAACCCUCUUUUUAUUUCUAUUAGCAAAGCUUUGCAUGCUGAAGCUUUCUAAUGUCCUAUUUAUAGGGACCAAUCUACUGCUUCAGGAACCUUAGCUUUUGCAACGAAAUUUUUUGAAUUGUGUAGCCAAAAUUCCUGAACGAGAGAUUCACACGUUUAGCCACGAAGAUUGAAGCCCACAAAUUUUAAAAUACGAAAUCCUACAUUUUAGGAACCUUAGCUUCACGUACCACAUCNNNNNNNNNNNNNNNNNNNNNNNNNNNNNNNNNNNNNNNNNNNNNNNNNNNNNNNNNNNNNNNNNNNNNNNNNNNNNNNNNNNNNNNNNNNNNNNNNNNNCUUCUAAAAAAGUAGAGGUCAUGAUGACUUGGAGACACGGAAAGGAGGAGCGAUUGGGAAAAUUGAGAAAAAUAAUUGAUGAAUGCAUUUCCAUAGUACGAUGGGGAUUGCCGUCUCUAUCUUAUCCUCGAUACAAUUGGAAAGUUUGGAAUAAUUGACUGAAUUUAACCUGUUAUGCACAAGCAUUUAGGAAACACGGGAAGAUUUGAAAUAUAGAAAAAUUUUAAGUAUUGCUGAAAGAGAGAAAUUGAGUAAAUUUUAUGUAUUUCUAAAAGGAAAAUUUUACUACUCGAAAUUGUGUGUGGGUGAGUGGUUUCUUUCUUUUGUUAUUCUAAAUUGCAUAUAGCGUAGAGAUUAGUACUUGAUUGAUGAAAUUUGGGAUUUUGAUGAUGUUAGCAAAGUGUUAGUAGAGUCAUAAAUAAGCACUAUCACUAUCAAAUCUGACUUAUAAUUUUCUUGAAGCACUUCUUUUGAAGAAUGAUUCGCUUCCUCCAUUUAAAAUAUAUUUGGUUAUGUUUAUUCCCUUAAGCAAAUUCUUUCCAUUUCAUAUUAUCCAUCAGUAUGCUCAAUCGGAAGAACAAUUGCUUCAACUAAUUCAUAUGUUCUCUUCAGCAAAUUCCUUAAGUUCAGCCAUCUCAGUCCCUUAACAAUUCUUUUCAUGGUAAAUUAUUAGUAUGUUUUUGAGCAAUUGCUAUAUUUUCUUCACAAGAUUCCCCAGCCAUCUUAGAUUCCUUAAUCAUAUUUACAUGUCAAACUUGACCAAGUGCGGAACACUGAUCAAAUUCAUUAUGUCUAGAAAAAUCAUGUUAUGAUUUUAUGUUAUGUUCAUUCAAGCGUCAGAAUAUAGCAAUCGAGGCUCAAAAUGGAUGUGAAGUUAAAGUUGAGGCACUAGAUCAAGGCAAUGCAUAAAAGCCCCCCAAACGGUCACCGUGUAUAUAGGUUUCUAGAAGGUUCGCAUUCCCUGACCUCAAUUGGGGGAAAGAUCUCGAGGGAUGGUCCACAAAACGUGUAUGAUGGUCAAGCCAUGAAGGAUCCCCCCUUGUCACUCCGCCCACCCCCCCAUGUGUUUGUCCGCCGUGUUGAAAGCGUCACAGUUGGAUAAUCAAGAGCUUGAGCCUGAGCAUUGGCAACGUUGAUUCCACCGACCGAGCUCUGGAUCAAAAACCCAAUCACUAGCUUGUCGACCACAAAGUUCUUACAGGAUGAGGGAAGUUGUGCUACUAUGACAUGCAUCUCUUCAUUCUCGAAUUAUAAAGCCGAUAUUCCAGGGCGCUCUUGCAUUGUUCUGUUGGCAAUAGACUUGCCGAAAGUAGAAAAAUUCGAUGAAGCGAACAAUUAAUUGAAGCAUGCUGAAGUUCAAGCUGCCACAAAACGGUGCAAGGGAAGUACAUNNNNNNNNNNNNNNNNNNNNNNNNNNNNNNNNNNNNNNNNNNNNNNNNNNNNNNNNNNNNNNNNNNNNNNNNNNNNNNNNNNNNNNNNNNNNNNNNNNNNNNNNNNNNNNNNNNNNNNNNNNNNNNNNNNNNNNNNNNNNNNNNNNNNNNNNNNNNNNNNNNNNNNNNNNNNNNNNNNNNNNNNNNNNNNNNNNNNNNNNNNNNNNNNNNNNNNNNNNNNNNNNNNNNNNNNNNNNNNNNNNNNNNNNNNNNNNNNNNNNNNNNNNNNNNNNNNNNNNAUUGAUUUAACCUUUGUGGUCUAUUUUUAUCGAAAAUCAUUGAUGUGAUGAUUUAGUUAUCUUGGAUUGUCCAGGAAUCUCCAUUAAAAAUUGAUCAUAAAAGCUAUAUUAAAAUAUCGCAUAAAGGUUUAGAAUUAAAUUGAAGAGAUUGCAAAAUUAAAAACUAAAUUGACGUCCAUACAAUGAGUUUAGAAUUGAUUGGAUAAUUUUUUCCAUAUGAUAACCGAUUUAAAAUACAAAAAACAUUCACGAGUAUGACGUACAUGGCACGUGGUACGAUGCAUGUGAUCCUACGUACCCAUUCAUAUCUUAUUCCCUGUUGCCUAUCUUUGAGCUACAAGCAUUGCAAAAAUUAUGCCAUGCCUUCAAUUUUUUAAUUUAAAAAAAAAAAGACCGUUGAUGGUUUGGUUGAAAAAUCAUCUGAAGGUAACCUUGGAGCAAAAUUCAUUUUGAAACUAGACAUCAUUUAUCACUCAUUGUUAUUGGGUAUGGAAGCACGAUAGUAGAAGCACGAGAAAAUUGUAAUGAGCAACUCGGGUCAGGACAUACUUAAUUGAAAAUAUGGUAUGAAUAUAACAUACACAAAACAAGAAUUGUUGCACAAUUAUCACACACAUAUUUUAUGAUUAGUGAAAGCUUACACUUACUAUUAAGAUUGUUUUUCUCACAUGACACGCAAAAACACUUGAAGCGAAGUGAACUCUUUUUUGCUUCUUUCCCGCACGGACGAGGCAACUCUUUCUUUUUCUCCUUGGUUUAGAGCCCAAAAACUUUGAAAGAACCUGAGCUUUCACGGAUGGCUUCAAUAGCUCCUCCUCUUCAUUUUCUUGUGAAUGCAUCUAUCGUACGUCUCCCAAAUAGCUACCCUACUAUUACCCUUACUAUUUCCUACGUAAUAGCCUUGACAAGUAGACGUUGAUUUCUGAUAAUUGUUUGCCAAAGAGAAUAAUUACAGAAUCUCUUGUCAAUAUCUCGAUUCGAUGAUGUGCGUGCUACACAGAACUUGAAUAAGAGUGAAUAAAGGCUACUCGGACAAAACUUCAGGCGGACGAUUCGGAGAACGUACUGAUUGAUGUGGGUGCUUUAACCCUCUUUUCCUUUUGCUUUUAAAAAGCUAGAGCAACCAGCGUGUUUCACAUUGACGCCAGAAGGAAGAGGCUCGUGACUUUGCAGACUCGGAAAAGAAGAGCGGUAAGGACAGAUGAGGAAAGCGACAAAGGUCCCCUGGGAAGCAGUCGAUCAAAUAUUAUAUGUGAUUCUUUACAGAUCGCUCAAGCACUGUGAAUUCGCGAUGAGACGGGGGUACUGCGGGUUCAUUGAGUGAAGUAGAGAGGUCUCUCUGUUUCUCUGCAUCUGUCGUCAUGAAUAUUAGCAGAAAGAAGAGAGAGGAGAGGGAGAUAGACGUGCGUGCACAGUCCACAUGAGAUAGAAAGACUGAUUUUUCCAUUUGCAAAACACAAUGAUUGAAAAAGCCGUCGACCGAUGUAGUGGAGGUGUAAUUGCAUGUCGCAAUGCAUUGCUUGUGACUCGAAUCAGGAAAUUACCAUUCAUCAUCCUUCAUCAAAUUAAUUGUGAAUGAAGUGGUUUUGGUCAUUUUUCAUUCAGAUCUAAUAGAGAUAAAAUCCCACUCGUGACUUGUAAGGUGUAACAUGGGGUUAUUUUCCUUUUUUUUUUUUCUUUUCAAUGUUCUUCUUGUCGUUGUUUUUUCACACCCAGACACAACCGUUAUUUCUUCAAGAAAAUCCACGAUUACCCCCCCUCCCCCCCUUCCUUUCUCUCUCUCUCUCUCUCUCUGGCCACGUGCGAAAGGAGUAGGAGUUUCUUUCGGUAGGAAAGAGAAGGAUAUUUAACAAAAAUAAAUUAAAGAAAAAGGAAGGAGAAAAGUGUGGGAAAUGGAAAAGAGGGCAUCCGAAAGGAGAGGUACUAUUCGUUUUGUAAAUAUGAUUUCUACUAUGCUAAAGAAGCCAACAAGGUUCUCCUUUAACUUAGCACGAAGAUAAAUUUAUAAUUCACAAGAGAUGUGAUGUGAGAGAUAACACAAAUGCAACAAAUUAACUUCUCAUCAUUUUGAGUAAUCCAUAACCAAUUAAACAAUCGAUGCUCGCCUUAUUAAGAAUUUAUCUUUUAAUAAUAUAAUAACUUGAGUUGACGAGGAUGUACAGUGAUCGUUAGAGUUAGAAAGUCUAGAUAGAGAGUGGCUCUUGACGGACUUUUAAGAUGACAAAAUAGACAUAAAUGAAUCGAAUUGUGCAUCAUAUAAUAAGAUAGCGAUUUUGAAAUAUAUAUAUAUAUAUAUAUAUUGAAAUUAUAUUAGGAUCCCACAACGACUCAAUUCGGAAUAGUCAACAAAGCUCAAGGAUCUAGAUAAAGAACCGUUCUUAUUAAGGUUUUAGGAUGACGAAAUGGUAGGAAUAAAUCAAAUGGGAGGCCGAUUCACACAUUAACACACAAAGGUUUCAGCCCACAAAUUUUGAUGGGCAAAAUCCUAAACUUUAUGAACCUUGGCUUCACGUACACGUCAAGAGCUCCUCAUCCUUCAUUUUCCUGUGAAAGCAUUUAUUGUGUCCCCCAAAUAGUUUCCUACUGGUGGACUUACUAUUUGCUACAUAGUAGCCUAUGGACGUUGAUUUCUAGAUCCAAUGAUGCCCCCGCUACACGGUUCGAUUAGAGGACAAAUAAUUCACGCGGAUUUUUCUGGGAACGUACCGAUCCAUCGUGUCGGUGCUUUAAGCUUUUCCCAUUUUCUUUUGGACCUUCAACCAGCGCGUUUCACAUUGACCCUAAAAAGAAAAGUUCAUGAUGGCCUUGGAGACUUGGAAAGAUAGGUGAUAGGAUGGAUGGGAGAAAUAAUUGGCGAAUGCUUUUUAGUAAUGUGAUGGUGGUUGUGUCUUCAAAACAAUGUUGCUAAUGUCAUUUGGGCCAAAAAUCAAAGAAAAGUAAGUGAGAACAUGAGUGCCCGAUGGUUUUAUGAUCUUAAAUCAUUGUCCUUGUCAUUGUCAAAGUUCAUAAGUUAAUUAAGAACAAUAUUGUUGAUUUGCUUGCACAUAAAAAAGAGAGCAUAAUUUCUUAGAGCUAUGAGUUAAGCCUAUAAAAUGAAAUAUGUUUCAUAUAUAGAUCUAAAUGGAUACAAUGAAUCAACUUAUUAGAUAAAAGUAAUAGUGACUCACCAAAAAACUUUCAAUGGGUAAUGGGUACACGUGACACUUUUGUGAGUGAUGUCUAUCUUAACUUUUUAUUUUUUGAAAAAUUUUCCUUAUACCUUUCCACUGUAAUCAAACUAAAUAUUUUUCAGAUUUAGUUCAAGGUGCGUAUAAUUACUUUUGAUAUUCCAAAAUUCUCUUAACCUCAUGAAGAUUAAGUAUACUCCUUGAAUAAUUAUUUCUUGUGAUCACGGUAACAUAAUUAUAGUGGCAAUAUCGCUAUUAUGUUCUUUUCUUUCUUUUCUUUUUUCUUUUUUUCUUUUUUAAUGGGAGUGGUUGUCAAGGCCGAUUAGGAGCAGACGUCCAGGGCCAGGAGUGAGGACCCCGAGAUGGCAACAAUUAAGGAAUUGUUUUUAGUCAAUUUACAAUCAAAUUUUUUGGUCAAAUUUGAACAAGUCUCUAGUCAACACAUGAAAAGGUCAAAAUAAUUAUUUUAGAAUUUUAUGCAAAAUUUCACGCAAAUAAUUAGAUAUUGGAUUUAUAUUGUUCAGUCCGUGAAGCUUAUCCACGGGGAAAACAACACAAAAUUUCACUAUAAAUCAAACGAUAUGAUAAAGUUUACAUGGUACUUUCAAUAUUUCUCAGCUCCCAUUGUACCCAUUAACCACCAUGGCAUUUGGCUUCACGAUUCAUCAUGAAGUAAUCUUGAAUUCACAAAUAUUACCAUAAGAUUAAGUUACUGUUUGGUAACAUGUUGAACAGUAACUAUUUUUUUUCUUUUAUUCCUUGAAAAAAAAAAUCCGUUUUGUAACUUUUUUAUUCUUAGGAAUAGAUUUGGAACGGAAUCGAGAAAUAAAAAAAAACUGCUUUUUUGUUUCCAAGAACAACUCAAUAAUCAAGUCCAAAUCAUUUUUUUUCCUCUUUUCUUUUCUUUCUUUUUCUCUUCCUCUUCUUCUUCCUCUAAUCGUUCGCUAGGCACCGUGAUGGCCAAGGUUUGGCAACCUCUCCGUGGUCGAGUCUCACCAUGGCUAGGCGAAGCUCGGCCUCGUCGAGUUUGGCAAGGCUCCCCCGAGGCUAGCAAGGUCAUUAGCCAUUAUUGUGGCUGGUGACUCGCUAGAGGAAGAAGAAGAAGGGAAUGAAAAGAAAAAAAGGAAAUUUUUCAUUAAGUAAAGGAAAUGCUAUGUUAGAAAAAAAUUCAAGAGCAGUACCAAGUGCAUUUCUAUUAUUUUUUUUUAAUUUCAAGAAUAGAAAUUUUGUACAAUUAUCAAACAUCUUCGAAUGUUUAGAAACUCAUUCAGAGAAUAGAAUUAGAAAAAAAAUUAUUUCUCAGCGGAAAUUAUUCACAUGAACAGAAUGAUUACCAAAUACACCUUAAGUAGGUUUGAACAUUUAAAGCUCAUCUUAGAUGUAAUUCAGGAAAAAGACCAACUAUUCACGCGGACGUUUUCUAGGAACAUACUAUUGUGUUGGUGCUUUAAGCUUUUUUCCUUUUUCUUUUGGACUAGCAACCAAGGCCUUUCACAUUGAUACUAAAAAGAAGAGGUUCAUGAUGACCUUGGAAACUCGGAAAGAAGAGUAGUAGGGCCAGAUGAGAAAAAUUAUUGAUGAAUGCUUUUAGUAAUUGGAUGGUGGCGGUGUCUCUCCCAUAUCCUCGAUGUAGUUGGGAAAUUGGAAUAGUUGACAGAAUUGAACUUGCUAUGUACAAGCAUUUAGGAAAUACCUAAAUUCAUUAGGGAUUUGAGAUAUAGGAAAGUUUUACGUAUUGUUGAAAGUGAGAAAUUGAGUAAUUUACCUAUUACUACUAGCAAGUUGGGCAAAAAACAUAACCUAGUCUUAUUAUAUGGUAAAAUCGUGUAAUUGAUUAGAUACACCGAUGGUAAUUUAGAAACAAAGUCAACAAAUGCAAUAGGAAGUCAUCAACAUCUUUAGAAAUUCACUGGAGGCUCACCGACAACCACGAAGAAGAAAGCAGAAAAGAAAAGGAAAAAAAAUCAUAAAAAAUCAUAAAAAAAUUCGAAAAAGUCAUAAAAAUUGCCACGUCAGCAUCCGGCCACCGGUCGACGUCCAUGUCAGCGCCGGCCGGCCAAAAUUGACCAGAUGGAUUGAAUUGGUACCAACAUUAAAAGGUUUAGGACUGAAUUAGUCCAAUUGAAAAGUUUAUGACUGAAUUGGUACCAAUGUAAUAGAUUUAAGACUUUUUGGUACUUUUCCCGGCAAACUGUAGUGCUGAUAUGAAAAUCAUAUCGUCUUGAUUCCAUUCAGCAUUGAGAUAGAACCGCCACCAGAUAAUGCCUAAAAGCAAAAGGCCACGACUAAUCACGCGGAGGAAGACUCCAAGCAGUGGAAAGGAACGGCGCGCUUGGAGCAGUGAAUGGAAUGAUCAUCCACCGGAUGUUGCCGAGAACCGAACGUCGAGGAUGAGGAGUUUUGACCACAAGAAGGCAACGAGUGAGUAGUUGUUUUUUGGUCAAUUUGAAGGCAUCUCCAGAUUCCUUGUGUGAACACAUGAAAUACAUGAAACUACUUACGUGCUGUGAGAGAUUAAAAUACACAUUAUAGUCGAGCAAUCAUGCCUUGACUCUUGCUUUCCCCCCUUCCUCUUUACCAGCCACUCUAUAAAUGUGGCGCAGAGAGAGUCCACUAAUUAUUUCCUGCUCAAACCUAUCCACAAUAGUCGAGCCUCUGUGAGAGAGAGAGAGAGAGAGAGAGAGAGAGAGACCGUGCUCUGCGAUGGAAGAACGACAAUUCAAGCGAGCAAAAUUCGCUGAAGCUUCGAGUUCGUCCUCCUCUGAGACUGGAAACAAUUACUAUGUAUUCCUAAGCUUUAGAGGUCCCGAUACUCGCAAUGGCUUCGUCGAUCACCUCUACCAUACACUGCGAGAUGUGGGCCUGCCGUUCCAUAGUAACUUCGUGUUCAGAGAUGAUGAGGACCUCCCCUUCGGUGAGGACAUUGCUGCAAAUCUUCUUAGUGCAAUUGAGCACUCUAAGAUUUCAAUCCCAGUCAUCUCAGAAAAUUAUGCUGCUAGCGAAUGGUGCCUUCGCGAGCUCAUUCAGAUAAUGAAGUGCCAGAAAAAAGGACAAAAAGUCUUCACCGUGUUUUACAAGGUGAAACCCUCUGAGGUGCGAGAACUAAAGGGGGCAUUUGGAGAGGCCUUUAGAUCCAAUAUGCCUCUUUUUAAGGAUGAUGUCAAGGAGCAAGGGCCAGAAGCACUCAGAGAAGCAGCUGCUUCUAGAAUAUUCGAAUCAGAUAAAUUUGCUAAUGGGUACGUCGUUUACCUUGUUUUAACAUGUCCUUAUCGCAAGAAGAAUUUUCCUAUUUAUCAUCCUUAGUCCUCGUUUUGUGGAUCCAUUAAUAAGUUCUCAUGUGUUGUGUUGUUUGACAGACGUGAAGCGGAAUUAAUAAAAGAACUCAUACGAGUAAUAAUGUGUGAGCAGCAACAUGAUUUCCUACUACCUCUUCCUGGGAACUUUAUUGGAAAUGAUGAUCGUGUGGCUGAGGUAAUGAAAUUGGCAAACACUGAUCCUUCCAAAACACAAAUUAUUGGGAUUUGUGGGAUUGGUGGCAUUGGUAAGACAACUCUGGCCAAAAACAUCUAUAAUAAGCUUGCUAAGAAAUUUGAGUGCUGUAGCGUUCUUAUGGAUAUUAGAGAAACAAUUAAUCGCAAUGGUAUGGAGCAUAUCCAAAAUCAACUAAUCUCAGAUAUAUCAAGAAAUCAGGGAAGUUGUGUGCCUGAUUCUAUGAGAGGGAUUGUAAACAUCCGAUCAAGUUGUGAAAAAAAAAAGGUACUUAUUAUUCUUGACGAUGUGGGUCAUCGAGACCACCUUGAUAAAUUGAUUGGAGGUUGUAAUUUCGGGUUAGGAAGUAGAAUCAUCAUUACUUGUCGAGAUAAGGCCCUCUUGAAGUCUGAAUAUAAAUGUUAUGAACUCGAAGUAAUGAAUGACAAACACUCUAUGCUUUUGUUUAGCUUGUAUGCAUUUGGAGCAAAACAACCUCCAACAGAACUUGCAACUCUUUCUAGGGAUAUUGUUGCCACCAUAGGAGGGCUUCCUCUAGCUCUCGAGAUUAUAGGUUCAUAUCUCAAAGGAAAAAGAAAAGAUGAAGUCAUAUGGAUAGAGACGCUAGAGAAAUUGAGAAAGGUACCUCAUACGGAUGUACAAGAAAAGUUGAAGAUAAGUUACAAUGCAUUGGAACAUAAUGAGAAACAAAUGUUUCUAGACAUAGCAUGCUUUUUCAUUGGAUAUGACAAAAGAUUUGCCACCUACCUGUGGAAGGAUAUCCAAUUGCAUCCAAAUUCCGGAUUGGCAAGAAUGAUUGAACUUUCGUUAAUAAAAUAUGAUGAUGGUGGUAACUUGAGAAUGCAUGAUCAUUUAAGAGAUUUAGGCAGAGCUAUUGCCCAUCCCGAAGGUACGCAGCCUUGGCUUGUAGCAGACUAUGGGUGAGAAGCCAUGAAAGUUCUAAGACGCAAGGUAAUGGUUAGUCUACUUUGGCUCUCCCAUGUUCUCUAAUGGUAGCUUUUUAAAUUAUUAUCUUAUCAAUCUUAUUUUUUCUUCUAUAUCUUAGAUUAUUCUCAACGCGUUGUUAGCAUUUCUUGGUAAAAGCUACAUCCAAUUUUGGCCUUUUGUUCAUGAAAAGUUUGCACUCAUGAUUAUGAGGCUCAUACAAUAGCUAUUAAAAUUGUUUACUAUUAACUCUUCCUAUUUUGCUCGUGUCGUUUUAACAUCAUUUUCUAGCAGAUUUGAUAUUGCUUCUUACUAUUUUACUAUUUUACUUGUUGAAGACCGAGCAUCACAGAGGUUUGAAAGUUUACUUAAUGCCACUUAUAAAUCCAGUCCCUCACACUCUAAAACGCAUUAGAGACUUAGAGUCGUUAUAACUUUAUGCCGAUUGGUUUAUAUUAUUCAACCAAACAACAAAACCUUACUUUUGAUCAUUACUUUUUGGUCAUUCAUUCUAUCUUCCCAAAACAUAUGAGCAAUUUAUAGUACGUGGUGUGAGGAUAAAUACAUGGAUCACAUAUUACCCACCUUUUUUACUAUCGAAAUCUUACUUCUCCAAAAUAUGAAGAAUUUUUACAAUUUGUUUUCUAGGAUUUAUUAUGCAUGUUCACGAUGUAAAUCCAAUAUGAUAAUGCAAAUAUAGAACUACAUGAAAAUUAAAGAUUUAGUUUAAAUUGUAUUACUCAGUGAAUGUUAUUAACAUAAUUGAAGCAAGCACCUUGAAAUAUAUCGAUUUUAGAAAUGCAUAAUUCUGUUAAUAACGUGGUUGGGUUAGUUAAUAACAUGAAACAACACUACUUAACUUGGAUGUCUCUUAGUCAACAAUAAAUAGAAAGCUCUUAUUUUUCUUUUCACUUGAAGGACUGGUAAAUUUAAAAAAAAAAAAAAAUCAAAUUCUCUAUUGUGACUUUGGCUUUUCUUUUAUUGUCGCCUAUACCAACUUACAAUCAAAUUAACAAAUUACCAAAAAAAAAAAAAAAGGAAGAUUGUUCAAGAUACAUUAAUUAUAAAGGAAUUGGCAUAUUUAAUGAUAUCUAGUUUUAAUUAUGAGCUCCACAUGUGUACGAUGGAUCAAUCAUGUUCUUUCAUAUGAAAGAUGAGAACUCACAGGAUUUUGAUAUGUGAUGCAACAACAUAAGGCUGUUCCAUUUCUACCCAGCUUUCAUAAUAUAUACUUGUAUUCAUAUUGAUGCUAUGCACGGAUCUAGUUAGGGGUAUUUUGAGCACAUAAUUCAACAUUAACAAAUGUUGUGCAAAAUCAAACGAUAGUAAAUUACGACAAAAGAAACUAAAUAACAACUGGUAUAUGAUUUUAUACAUAUUCAUACAUAGUGAUUUUCAAUUAAAAAAAAAACUGAAAAGGAAAUAACGAUGUUAAGAAAUUAAAUAAUUGUAGGAAAUAAGUGAUGGAAUAAUGAAAGGUAAAAGAAAUUGUGCUCUCCUCCUUUUAUCUGCCUUUGGUGUAAUAUAAUAUCCACCUCUAAUAUGUAGUGAGCGAGCCUUUCUCGGUACAGAUUAAUUGAGCCUCUGUGCACACACACCAACAGAGGAGACAAAAAUCUAUUGUUAGAUUUUAGUGAAGAAAAAACAAAUAAUUAACUUAUUAAAUGAGAUAACUGGAGGAGCAAAAAAUAAAUGUUAGAAUGCAAAAAAAAUGAAGAUGAUAAUAAUCACUAUCCUUUUUUUACUAAUUCAUAUAUUUUUAUAUGAAUGGGUGAAUGGCAAAAAAAUGCACUAACAAAUUCUCGAGAUGAGGUCGAAUUUUAUACUGAUUGGGGCAAAUUUACUAAUAACUAAUUGAGUAGUGCUUUAAUUUUAGGCGAAAUUAUCCAAUUAGUCAUAAAUUUAUUGUGCGGAUGUCUGUGCAGUCAUAAACUUAUCAAUUUUACCAAUUUAGUCUUUAAUCUUUGCACAAAUUUCCAAUAUGGUCAUUCCGAUCAACUUUUGCCGCGAUCCAAUCAUGUAUGGCUAUCCUACAUGGUACACCGUCACAUUAGCAAUUUCCUGUAAAAAUUAGCCGAAAUAACUACAUUGGAAUUUCACAUAAAGAUUUUAAGACUAAAUUGCAAAAUUGAUACAUUUAGGAUUGAUUGGACAAUUUCUCUCCUAUCUAAGGAUUAGUUGUUGUGCUUUGAGCUUGUAUAUCCAAAAAUGAAAACUCAAGUUCAAUAGACAAAUUUCUUGUUUUCCAUCUAGCCAUGCGCCAAAACCAAAAACAUUUUCUGAAGGGGAAGGGAAUGAGUUGUCAUGCUUUAUGAAUGUAUAAGUCUAAUUAGGUACUUUUUGUUUUUGAAAUAUGUAACAGUUCUCACAUAUGUCAAAGGGGCGCCAUAUUUAGUCAGUUGUCAAUACUAUGUAUGUUACAAAAUUUAUUUCAAAAUCUAGAAGAAAAUUAGACUAAUUUCAUAUAGGAAUUUCACAUAAAACAUCAAAAAAUGGGGGCAUACGAGUGAAAAUCGACAUAUUGAAGAUCACGUAAUUGUAGAAGAUUAGAUAUGUUUCCUUUUCCCUAUAAGUGUAGACAAAAUGCAUUGGCCACAAUAACAUGUAGAGUAUACUACCAAAAGGAGGGUGGAUAGUUUUUACAAUCCUCAAUUUUAUUCUAUUUUUUGUAGGAGGAAAAUGAAAACAUUGAGGCACUACGUUUGGACAAAAAGGGCUCUAGACAGUUCAUGAAGCAACAGAGCUUCAAAAAAAUGCCUAACUUGAAGUUCCUUCAUGUGAAGGCUGUGGAUUUUUAUGGAGAUUUCAAAGGAUCGCUUUCUGAAUUAAGAUGGCUAAGGUUGGAGACAUCUCCUAACUCGUUCGAGGCAACCAAUGUUCAUUUGCAGAAAUUGGUCAUGCUUGAUUUAUCAUACAAUAAUAUUGGGGGAUAUAUUGAUGAAAAUUGGAGAGGAUGGAGUUCAAUUAAGGUAAAGAUGGAAAAAGGCUUUCUCUUUUGUUACAUUUGAUGAUAAAUCAUUCUAUUUUCUAAUUGCUAAUAUUGGAACAUGUUUCUUUCUUAUAGAUGGAGAGGCUGAAAGUUCUCGAUCUUUCAGGUUCCUGCCAUUUACGAAGCACUCCUAAUCUCUCCGGGUUUAAAAAUUUAGAGAUGCUAAUCUUGAGACAUUGUCCUUUGAAGGAAAUCGAUCCUUCCAUUGGAGAUGUCAAGCGCCUCGUUUCCUUGAACUUGGGCUAUUGUCGAAGUCUAAAGAAGUUACCUAAACAACUCGGCGAACUAGAAAAUUUGGAGGAACUUGUCGUAGAGUAUACUGGGAUAAAAGAAAUCCUUCCAUGUAUAAGAUCUUCGAAGCGGCUAAAGAAUCUUAGUCCCAAAGAGUGUUCGCAACUUACUGAAGUUCCUGUCUCAAUAACCAGUUGGUCAAGUUUGUCGUUAGGAGAUUACCACAAGUCGCCACCAAUCCCUUCUUCAAUUGGGAAGUUGGGACAGUUGGUUAAGCUGAACUUGUCAUUGACAAAUGUUAAGGAACUGCCCGAAUCCAUUGGGGAAUUGAAAAAAUUGAAAAUUUUGAACAUUGGUUGUAGCUCAAUAGAAAGAUUACCAAGCUCUAUUGGAAAAUUGCAAAGCCUCCAAGAGCUCGAUGCCAACCAGUGCGAUAAACUGGAAGGACAAAUUCUUGUUGAUGAAGGUGGAUUGUCUUCUCUAAAGACCCUUGAUUUAUCUCACACAAAAAUUUCUGGCUUGCCAGAAAACUUAGAUCAGCUUCAUUCUCUCGAGGACCUCAGUUUAUAUGCCUGUCAUGAGCUUGAGUCAUUCCCAAAACCUCCUUUUAGCUUAUUAGCCUUGGAGCUCACCUGUCGGAGCAAUGAGCUGCCAUCGCUCUCUCACCUCAAGCAUCUACAACUUCUCACCCUUCGUGAAUGCAUGUCUCUUCAAAGCAUGCUAUCGCUCUCUCAGCUGAAGCGUCUACAGGAUCUCAAACUUGAGUGUUGCGAGUCUCUUCAAAGCAUCCCAGAGCUUCCCUCCUGCAUACAAACGCUUGAAGUUGUGGGAAGUCCCGAAUUGAAAAGCUUGCCAAAUCUUUCCGAUUUUGAAUUUUUGUCGGAACUAAGGCUUCAGGGUUGCGACAAGCUGAAGAAAUUGGAUGGACUGGAAUGUUUAAAAUCCCUAAGAAGGUUGGACCUAUCAGUAUAUGGUGAAUCGAUGUCUCAUCUCCAUGUGAUAGAAGGCCUUGAAAAAUUAGGAUCUUUGGAAUGGUUGGAUAUCUCUAGUCGCGAGCACAUUCAAGUACUGGACCUUUCAAAGUCAGAGCAUCUAGAGCGGUUGAUUGUUAAGGAUUGCAAAAGCUUAGUUGAAAUUCGCUGCCAUAGUAAAUUCCUAGAGCUCUUUGAUAGGCGUAGGUGCGAGUCACUCAAGAUAUUACCGGACUUUUUACCACAUGACGGGCUAUGGUCGGAUCUUCAUGAGGGCAACGACGACUUCUUGGACUGGGAUAGUUGGUAGUAAGAAGAGGAGGAGGGUAGAAAUCGAGCACAGAGAGAAGGGGGAGAGAUUGAGGUCCACUAUCAUCUGGUGGUUUGUUUCUAUCUUACUUCCGAUGGACGAUGAUGGGAUGACUGAUUUGAAAGUGAGAUUCAUGCUCACAUGCUCCGCUAGCUGAGAAAUGGAAUUCGGCUUCUAACCUCACCCACUCACCGAUUGCUUGAAAUGGAGCAACACAGGAGUUUGAUGAUGGGGUGAUUAUGGAAGCGAGAGAAUGUUGGAGGCGAGGAAUCUGGUGAAGGAUCUUCAUGUUAGGUCUUCAUUGCUUCCGGUUGCCAUAUCUUCAGAGUCCAGGUGAUUGGACCCCUUUUAACAUUAAUCCAUUUUUGUCGCCGAUUGAUCAGUUUAUUCGUUGGUUGAUUCUUGGCGUGAUUGGUGCGUGCACAUUCUGGUGAUUCGAGGUUUUGAGUCGCUAUUGUUGGUCUGAUUUUGGAUGUUCGAUGUCUGCACAUGGAGGAAAUGAAAUGAAACUAAUAUGAGCUUUUCAGCAUGUUCAGUGAAGCAUGUUUAGUUGUCCUGUUAUAUUUAUCAGCUUGUGAUUCCUGUUAGGUGCAGAGAUCUGCUCGAUUAUUCUCUUCUACCAGUUUGCUAUGGUGCAACGAGAUAACUCUAGCAGCUUUUGAUUAGGUUUCGUGUUAAUGGUGGUGAAUUUUCCUUGUGUUAUCUUAGCAGUUGCAGAGCAUGUAUAGCAGGAUUAUCAGGACUUAUGAGCCUAUUACAGGUUUAGGUUGAUUUUAUCACCCUGUCUAGGUAGCCUAGAAAGCGAUUGCAGAGUUGUCGGAACUAAUGUGAAUUAACUUCAAGUUGAAUGGGAAGAUUACCUUGAUUGAUGAGGUUCUACUUUCCUAGCCAUUUCUUUCUUGUUCUCGGAUCUUGAAGCACCUUGAGGGGUGAUGAGAAGUGGAAAGAUGAAUAGUCUCCUAUGAACCAUUUGUUUGUACCUAUGAUCCAAAGUAGGAUUUUCUUCAUGAGCCUGUGGAAAUUCCUUCUCAUAAGAUUCUCCGAGGAUGUCCUUACUCAUCUGAGUUAGCUAAUAACAAUUGAAAUGGUGUUGAAUGCUACUAAUUUCACACGGAAAAUGAUACUAGUGGUUUGAAUUGUUGUGAUGGUGAUAUGGCUUGUUCAUUUUGUCCUUACUUUUUCUUUGCUAGCUUUCUAGUUGAAUGGAAUUGCUCCUUAUCUCCUUCCGACUGUGGGAAAAUGCAAAAACUUGACCUGUGAUAAUAGAAGUCCAUUGGUUUCUUCUUUGACCAGGAUUUAUCGGGCUCUGACAUUGUGGUGUGUUUGGAAGAACUUUUGCUUUUAACUUCCGUCUAUUGUUUUUAGCAUUUGCAAUGUGUGUUCUGUUCAAUACUCAGUGCUUCAAACCUUCAGAAAACAUAAAACUUUGCAUUUUUUGGCCUAUUAUAGCAAAAUAAUUCUUGUCUUGUUGACAAGGUCAGGAAGUACCUUUUGAUUUCUAAUGUUGAAACGGAAACACCAUUAAAUUUGUCUCUAUUUCCAUGGUUGGUUUUCAUUCUGUCAUCCUUUGUAUGGAUCCUCUACAAUGUGAUGGUCUUGCUUUUUGAAGGUUACAAACUCUAUGCUAGUCGAUUGUUGCCCGCACCGAUGUGAAAUUCAGAGUACAGAGCUAAUUGAAUCUGAUUGUUACCUGAAGAUUUCAGUUCACAAAAAGGUGUUGAAGAAUGACGUUGAGUCAUGCUUGAGAAAUAUCUGGUUGUCGGCUGGUUCAAUUAUGAAUUUGAGGAUUGCGUCUCCAGUGGGGUUGGGUUAUGUUUGAUGCCGGGUGGAGACUGCUUUGGCCAACUUAUUGUCUGUUCCUUAGCUUUUCAAUGUUUUUCUUUUCUCAUGCUGGGCAAGAAGGUUGGUCCACAAAUGAGUCGUGCCCUCUAUUGCUGGUGCUGCAUUGUUCCGUGGUGGAGUCUCUCGCCGAUUUGCCUGCAAAAACUCCAUCUGUGUUGUUUGGGAAGCUUGAUUGUGGAAUGGUAAGGAAGAAGAUCAAUCUCUGGAGCUUAGUUUGGAGGCUUUAGACGUUGCCACCAUAAAAUAAGCAACAUUUGUUUUGUCCAAUUUCAUUAGUGCAGAUAAUUAUGUGUCACUGUUCAAAUCCGCUUUUGCUGAACAAGUGUAGUCUAUAUUUACAUUAAUACAUAAAAUGUUGUUUGGGGUGUUCAUCUGCAAGUUUAAAAGUUGAAGCACGCCGGUUGGUAGCUGAUUACCAAUUUGGUGUUAGUUUUUGUCCCUAGUAGUUUGGUGCAAUAUGUUGUGAUUGACUUAUCGUGAUGAAGUUACUGUAAUACUUGGCAUUUGACCAACUAAAAAGGAAAUUCUGGGGCCUUGAAAAAAAGAAAAAAAAAACAAAAGAGAAGGUUGAAAAAUCAACUAAACAAGGGAAGUGGACGUCGGCUAAAGGGAAGAAAAAUAAGACACUCGGCUCCCUCUUAAACUGAGAGCUCAUUUAGAAGGAAAAUGGAGAGGAGAGAGAAAAAGAUUUGAUUCUGGAGAUCACUAACAUCUCCUACUAAACAAAAAAUAUAGCAGGUAUGGUGUGGAGAUUUCCUACUUUCAGUAGUAUUUUCAGUUUGGACAGGGCUUUUCUUUGACACGUUAUUUUUUUGCCUGUCUUAAUUCUAGCAACUGGAGGAAGUUAUUUGAGCAAAGUAAGUGUGAUGUUUUAGUAUUAUCUGGCUCGUGAUCAUGACAUGAAUAAAAAAGAUCCCAAAAGGAUAUUUGAUGUCUUCAAUCAUAUAGUACGAGAUUCUUCAUUCUGACGUGGUAUCAAUCUGCGCUUGUGUAAUGAAGUAAUACUCUUCUCCAACUUCUAUGAGUAGAGAAAUCACUAUCCAAUGGAUUUGGAAACUGCUCAUGCAUUUUGGAUCUGAUUGCAUUUUAUUAACUCGUUAUCUGGUCAAGGAAGUAGGCAGUGAAGGUACCAUAAACGUGCUCUGCAUUUCCUCAAAGCCAGAGCACUAAUGUCAAGAUAAUGAAUCUCCAUGGAUAUAUGUCAAACUUUGUUUGUCACUUAAUAUGCCAAUAUGAAGGUUGCUCUCUUUGAAGGCAGAUAUAUGGCCUUGAUCAAGCUGAAAGUAUUAUCAUUAACAGUGGAAACCCAGUGCAAAUCAUGUUGCUGCUCUUUCCUUGUAUUACUUCAUGCCUUUAUUAAUCAUCUUGCAAAUUCGUACCUUAACAUCAUUUGCAAUUUAUUACUUCAAUUCGGUCAUCGUUUGGUAAUGACAAUGUCUGCACCCCUAGAGGCUUUAGAAGAACAGAGGAUUUCCACUGUAUUAUCGAUAACAGUGUGAGAUCCAAACCAGAAGUAUGGAGGAAGUCCUUAAAUCAACCGUAUUGCUUUCAUGUUUUUGGGAUAAACAUGACUAGUAAUCAGAGAGCUGAUCUAGAUCUCUUAAUGCCAUCUUUUCUUGAACUGCAGCUCAAAUCAGAAUGUUUUUUUAUAGCUGCCACUAAAUAGAAUUGGAAAGCCACUUCUCCAAUAACUGUGGUUUCAGCCAUAAAUGUGCACCAUUUUUGGUUAGGCUGAUGGGAGGGACAAAAAAUCUUUUCAGAGCUUGGGUAUUACCCAGCUGUUUAUGGCACUGAAAUGAAGUGGGAGGAGCUGUGCAUAUGAUUUUUAAUUCUAUGGAGGCUUAAUCAGUACUACAUCAGAAGUAAGGACUUCCAACUGUAACUGUAAUCUUGACAUUGGAAUAGCUUAUUGGCAAUAUUAGGAGUGCAAAUUGACUUGGCAGAUACAAGUCAUUUCUUUUAUUAUUAUUUUCACAAUAGUUUGAUGCAUGUCUUUGAAUCCUGAUGAGAGAAAUCAUGUUCUUUCAUUAUCAUUCACUCAAAUAGAAUACCAGAAUGAUGGAGAACACAUAUGCCUCAUAUAGAAUUAUGAAGACUAUUUGCAUGACAGCAGCACGACAGAGAUCAGGUUGUGGAGAUCAUCUGUGUUUCCUAGUAAUUGUAAAUAUAGCAGGUAAAGUAUCAUAUUUAGUUAAAGAGUACUUACUUCACAUUAGUAAUUUCAGUUUGGCAUGGGGUUGUGUCGAUGUCUUAUUGUUUUCUGUCUUAUUUCAAGUAAUCUCAGGGAAAUUGGUCGACUAAGUGAAUGUAAUGCUCUGGCAUCAUCUGGCUUGUGAUCCUGGUGGGAAUGAAAAUAGAUAAGAAUGCCUUCAAAGUACAUUGCAUGUCAUUAUACGUCAUCAGUCACAAAGAAAGACUUUUCAUCCUUGACAUGACAUGAAUAUGUUCUUAUGCGAACAGAGAGUGUUACCUUUUUCCAAGUUCUAUUAAGAUCGUUUCCUAGAACAGAGGAUGUUUAUUAUGUGUUUUUUCAUUUUUUUUUUCAAUUCACUUACGCAUAAUAAAAAAAGAACUUCAUUACUUGUUAGCAAAUGAUCCACCCAAAAGCUUAAAGCACUAGUUAGAGGUAGACUCAAUGUAUAUAACCCCUGUUGAAACCCUUUAUUUAACCAAUGUGGAAUAACACUUCUAAUAAUUGAUUGAUUUUGGGAACUACUCAUGUCUAUGUAGUCUUGAUUGCAUUUUUAUUAGCUUAUGUCCGCUUAUUCUGUCAUGGAUUAAUAAGCUACUGGAGGCACUAUCUUAACAUUUUUACUUUUCUCAAAUCCAGAACACCAAUGUUGAGAUGACUUAUUUCCAUGGAUCUAUAUGCAACUUUGUUUGUCAGUUGAGAUGCUAAUACAUAGAUUGCUCAAUCUGAUGAUGGAUUCAAGCUCUUGAUCCUGUCAGAAGUAACAUCCUGUACGGUGGAAAAUCUGGUAGGAAUCAUGUUGUGCUCUUUCUUGUUUGUAGUCAUGCCUAUAUGCAUCUCACAUGUUCGUAUCAUCAGUUAGUGUCUUUACAUAUCAAAUUUGCAUCCUUCUGUUCGUUCUUUUUUUUGGUGAUGACAAUUUCUCAUGCCCUCGAUGCUUUAAAUGACCAAGAGCUUCACUGUAAUUUUGGCAAUGAUGUGAGAUCCGAACCAAAUAUCUGGGAUAUGGAUGUAACAAGGACAUUCUUUAAGCCGAUUGCAUUGCGUUGUGCUUUAUGAACGGGAGCUGUCCGUCAUAUAAUGAAAACAGGUGCUUUACUUCACUCCUGAAAUGUUUGAGAGCUGAUCUGACUCCAUAAAUGUCCAUUUUUUCUUGAACUAUUACUUAAUCCGAUCAGAAUACUUUGUUACAGAUGCCACCGUAGCAGAAUAGAAUUGGAAGUUCAACCUACUAAAUAUGAGAGCACCGCGGAAAUGGCCAACUACGAUCCCAGCGAGUGUGUUUGCCUUCUUCACUCCAAACCCUACAGUCUAUCCCUGCAGUCUAUUCAAUAAGGUACUAAACUAUCUCAAUUAUACUUGCUACUAAUAACAUUUUCUCGCUAGGGGUCUCAUCAAAUUAACCAGAAGAUUAUUCAUACCAUUUUCCAGAGUAGAGCAAAGGAGAGCUUCUAGGUUCCUAGCUUGCCAAAACUUGUCGAAUGGACGCACAUGGCAUGCCAAACAAAAAGCUACUGCCAAAGGCUAGCUUGCCCAACCUUCUUGGAAGAUAAAUAGGCACUCAUCACGAAUGCUUCUGUGAAGUAAUCACACACAUCUACACAGAGAGUGUUAAAAUGGCUGAUAAAAUGGUUGAUCAGUUCAGGGCAAUGGACUUGAACAAUAAAAUAGAAUGGUAUCCUGUGAUUUCGCCUGAAUGGCUAGGUUAUGUUGCGAUAGUCGAGUCGAGAUAUCACAUGAUAUAUACCGUGUCACAGUCUUUUAGCUUCGGAGUUCUGGUGGAAACAUAUGGUCCCGAUUGGGGAUUGGUGAGGGAACUUAGCAUCUACGUUGGGCAUGCGAUUCACUACUCCAAAUCAAUUUUGGCAUUUUUCUCUCUCUUUUCGAUGUUGGUCGAGUUACCUAGUACAUCUAGAUAACGGUAAAACCUUGGAGAUACAAUCUUACGACUUAUUUCAAUUUGCACAUACAUUGCUGCAUUGCAAGAGGUAACUAUAAAUUGUUUGAUUCUCGACAUCUGGAUUGAAAUGUAAUCUCACCUAACUAGAGGAGAAAAGAAGUACAACCCAUCACCAGAGACUGGUUCGUUUAGUUAAUAAAACUCAUGCUUGGACUGCUUAAAUUAUAUCAUUACGCAUCAAGACUAAUAUUAUAAAUCUAAGACGAAUAUUUACAACACGGUCGAAACAUGAUACUCGCCAUUAUUCAUUUUGAAGGGGAGCUACGCUUCUAUGAGUUGGACAGGUGUUGUUCCAUGGGAAGUCCGAAUAUCAGGAGCUUCUUGUUUUCCAAGUGACUUCUUACCUUUCAUGAUCGCUCUCCAAUUUUACACCAGAAGUACUAUGACAAAGCAAUGGCUACGCUAUUAGUAUUUAGGAUACAAGUAUUUAGGAUACAGAUGAUCCUGAUGAAUCGUGAAGAUCGAUGAGCUUACACAAACUCUGCAUAUAUACUACCACCUCAAAUAAGAUUUUCUUGGGGGAGAUUGUUUUUGCAAAUGAUUAACUUAGGAGAAAGUCUACAGUGUUAGAUAUAACAAAGUUUAUUUUCCAAAAUCAGUAAACAGAUCUCGUUAAACAUUAGAUUAACUUCGGUCUGAUACUUCCCCUGCCCAAGAAACUAUUUCAACAAGCAAUUAGUCGAGUUGACAGCAUCUUGGAUGGUAUUCUUACUCACGACGAGCAGACAGAUAUCUUGUGGCUCCUUUGAUAUAUUCGUUUGUUCAUAGUCAGCGGAGCAUGGCAGAGUGGCAACUCUGGAUAGUCAAAUCCAACUGAUGUAGAAGGAUGAGUUUGUUUACCAAGAGAUGCUCACGCAUCUUCCCCUCUGUUCAAUCCCCAACCCGAAGAAGGUGGUCUCUCUCUCUUUAUUUCUUUCCAACUUCUUUCAUCUUUGAAGUUUUGAUGCUGUGAAAGUACUCACUUGAUAUUUUUACAGGUGCUGCUCGUUGGUGGGGGAGAUGGAGGUAUUCUGAGAGAAAUAUCUCGUCACACGUUUGUGGAACAAAUUGAUAUAUAUGAACUCGACCAAAUGGUGAUUGAUGUAAGCAAAAUUAAACUAUGAAAACCUUCCACAGUUUCAAGCUUGAGCAAUUGGGUUCAGGAGGACCAUAGCAGUUAUUUAUAUACUUCUUGUGUCCUGUUGCAGGUUUACAAGCAAUUCUUCCCUGAAAUAGCAAUUGGGUAUGAGGAUCUGCGAGUGAAUGUGAACAUUAACCAGGGUAUAUUCAAUAGUUGUUACACAUUGAUGAAUAUAAAUAAGUUGCAAGAGAUUAUUUAAUUUAACUUACUUUAAUUUCAACAUCGCAGGAGUUGCUUUCCUGAAGGCGGUUCCUGAAGGAACUUAUGAUGUGAUCAUUUUGGAUGCAUUUGAGUGUAUGGGUAUUGUCGAGUGCUUAUAACCUCCCCCACCUCUUUGAAAUUUAGUAUGCCUCCGAUUAAUUGAAUAACUAAGCAGAAUAACAGAAAUCUCAUAGGGUGGUAGGUCAUACAUCUACUUAUUUCAAGUAAUUCGAAACAUUCAGACACCUCCAAGAAAAGGAGUACUUGCUAAUCAUGCGUAAAAAAAUUCAGGAGCUACUGCAAUUGAACUAGCGAAUAAAGAGUUCUUGGAAUCGGUGGCUCGGCCGCUCCAUCCUAGAGGUGUCAUGUCCGCUCCAGCAGACAGCUUUUGGCUGGACAACUUCAUAGUGGAAGACACUAUUGCUGAAUGUCGCCAAAUCUUAAAGGGCUCAGCGAGAUAUGCUUGGAGUACAAUUCCUUCCUUCUCCUGUUUUUCAAGUUUACGAUGGGGAGAAUGAAUUUUCGACUUUCUUUACCAUUAGAGGGACGAUUGAAUUUGUGCUCUGCUCCACUGUUGGGCUGGCAGUUGACUUCGAGAAACCUAUCAAUCCUCUAGAUACCAAGAACAAUGGGGUGGCUAAAGGGCCUCCUAAGUUCUACAACUCUCAGGUAAAAAGGAUAAAAGAUGUUACACGUAUGUGAACUGGAAAUUUGAUGUCUUGUUAAUGCAAACCUCUUUGCCUCCUGAUGUGCCAGAUCCAUACUACUGCUUUCUGUCUGUCAUCUUUUGCAAAGAAGGUAGGCAGUGCCAAAUUCUAAUAAACAGAUGUUUCUCGCAUAUGGCCUAUAAAAGAUGGAGAAACAACAUCCUUAUUUGUGUUCUUCUGUCUUCAUUUUUUUUUUUUUUUCUGUUGUCCAUUGUUUGUCGAUCAUCGACUGUAAUACCCAAUGUGGCCAUAUCAAAUUACAAAUAAGCAUCACAUGGCUGCCCGUCAAUCGCUGAGAGGCAGUAGGCUAUCAUUUUACUUGAUAAGAGGUCGAUCUCUGUCCUGCUCUAAGUUACUGAGUCCAUUUGCCCAGGAUCCUCUCAUACAUGCACGAAGAGACUUGACACAUCACAUUGCAGCCAAGACAGCUCCUUUAAGUAGUGUAGCACAUGCCAAAAAUCGAUGUGGCCUCAUAGUAGUGAGAUCAAAUAGGUAUAUAUAAUCAUUGAGCAUUAGCUGCAUGGUCUGUUCCACUAGUUUGUGCAUAGCUAGUCCAUAUACAAAUCUCUGAAUCAUCCCAACAUCAGUGAUGCAACUUUGAAUUAACUCCAUAAUCUCUGAGGUCUAACUUCCAUUGGAAGUAUGAAGAUUUAGCUAGUGUUCAAAAGGCCUAAAGUUCCUUUCAGAAAGGAAGUAUUUCUUUGUCAGAACUCAAUUUGAUGCUUACCCUAGAACAAUUAAGCUUAUAAAAUAAACCCUGGCCAAGAAAAACCGAUUUUUACUAGCUUUUUAAUUAAUCUGAGAAACAGUUUAUGCAUUUAAUUAGCCACUCUUGUAGUAGUCAAGGAAAUGUUCUUGAAAUAUGUAUCCAACCGAUCGGUGUAUUUUACUCAGACUUCUAGUUAUGGCUUUGUUUUUCUGAGUUUUAAAAAGACUAAAAAUUGUUUUGAGUUCUAUAAAUUUGUAAGGGAAUUAUAAAUCAUUUCAUUUGUCAACAUUUGAAAUUUCGCAAAGGUUUUCGGGUAUUUCGCUAUAAAUACAGAUCGACCAAUCAUGGUCCCUAAAUUUGACGAAGGAAAAGGUCCAAAGUCAGACGAGACCUAAAGCCAUGAAAACUUCAGUAGUACGAAGGUUAUUAGAACUGCAGAAAUUAUUUGAUUUGUGAACAAAAUUUCUUGCAUUCAUAUAUGGAGGCAUGGAAAAUUGCACGUUAUUUUUCUUUGUGAUUAGAUUUGUCUGACUUUCCAGUCAGCUUCGCAUAAUGUGACAGCAUUGAUAAGGAAAGCGCGGGGCAAGACAUUUUAUAAUUCAUCAGAUUGCAGAAACUUGAAGAGUCUAUGAAAAUGAUAUAAGUACCAAUCAUGUAUUUAUUUACCGAAGAUAUAUUUAUAUGAUAAGGUCCCCACUCAAUGAACAGGAAAUUAGACGGCCAAUGUAGAAAAUAAGUUGGGAACGCGUUGACUUGACGAGAAUUUCUUUGGUGCAAAUGACAAGCCAAUUCGGAUUUUUCGUAAAUCUUUCCCAUGGCCAUUCCCAAGAGUCAAAGUGCAUCGAUUGCAAGAAGAAAUUGAAAGAAAAUUUGAAAUUUCAGUUUAGCGAUUGAAACUACAGCUCAAUGAUUGCAUUGCAAACACCUCUUUAUGUUUAGUGAGGACCGGUGGAAUUUAUCUUUUAUUUGGGCUCCGUUUUUUCUGUAAAAAAUGAAUGAUUUGAAAAAUAUUUUCCUAAAAAUGAUCACUUGAAAUAAUUAGUCAAUGAAAAAUAUUUUUAUUAUUGAUAAUAAUAUAUAUAAAUAUUUUCGUAGAAGAUGAAAAUAUUUUUCGUUCAUUGAUUUUUGUAAGUGAUACAAGCUAUCAUUUUUAGAAAAGUAUUUUUCAAAUCAUUCAUUUUACACGAAACGAACGAAGGUUUUGUAAGGGACUAGCUUGACUUUGUCAAUUGAUGUUUUGAGAAGUGGGGAGACAAAAACAUUGGGCUGAUGGGGUCCAAGAUUCCCAAGAACAAGCAGACUUAACGAAAGAGUUAUUUUUGCAGCGUAGUUCAUUGAACGAGAAAGCAAACAAUAAUAGUAUUAGUACCCUCUUGGGAAGAGUUAUUCUCCUUCAUUCAUUAUAAAUAAAUCACACAAACUUCUCUUUUCAAACGCACCCCUCUUUUCCUCGCCGUUGUGCAUUUACGUUGUGGUUUUCUCACCAAAAAAAUGCCAAGAAGGAGCACUUAUGCAGAUCACUCCCACAACCCCCGAGCCGAGGAAGAAGAAGAAGAUUACUAUGAAGUGUUCCCGAGCUUCUGUGAUGGAGAGACUUGCGCCGGCUGAACCGACUGCCUCUAUAGGAGCCUGGUCGAAGCGGGAGUCUGUGUUUACAGAGACAACAAUGAGCUUCACACAAGUAAGGUGUUUGGCCCGGAACUUCUUAGUGUGAUUAUAUAAUCUGGGAUAUUGAUCCCAAUUCUCUUAGAAAACUAUAGCUCCAGAGAAUGGUGCCUCCACGAGCUCACACAGAUGAUGGAUGGACUACAAGAGAAACAAUGGAAGGUAUAUGAUGUUGCCUGUAUUUUAUGGGGUGAAGCAAGUGCACGUGCGGCACCAGGCAGGGAUUUUCAGGGAGAGGUUUCGAUCCGGUACGGGGUGGCUCAAUGAACGGGUUGCGGAGAAAUGGAAGCAGGCGUUUGGAGAAGUCGGUUCCAUAUUUGGAUAUGAAUCCGGGAGAGGGUACAUCUUGUUUCUAAACUUACCUCGUUUACCUUUUUUUCUAUUCACAAUAUCAUUUGUUUUUUUUUUUUUUGGCCAAAAUGAUACCUUGUUCACUUCCAUCAACGAUUUUGGCUUCGUUUAUUUCUCAAAAUCAAUAAUUUAGAAAAAAACAAAUCGUAAAAAAAGUAUCUUCAUUUUUAUUGGAAAAAACAAAAACUUUCAUUUUCAUUAUCAUAUUCGUUGACAAAAAUGAAAGAUCAUCUCCCCGCGUUCUUUUCAUGCUUCUCUGUGCCUUGUCACCCAACGAGCCUCACGUGCAUUUUUCACUUGGUUUUUGUUCCCUGUUUAUCACACAAGUAAGAAUGAUUACAUCAUUUACAUGAAGGCGACCCGAUACAUAGUCUGGUUUCCUAUACCCAGAUUUCCCGAAACAUCGAGAUUCAUGAAAGAUGUACAAAAUUAUUUCUUUUUAAGUUUAAAUGAGUAUUCAGUGGCUUAAGUAGUGAGGAUAUUGUUGAUUAAUCAACACUUAUGCCCUCAGCAACCCAUUCUUUUUCUUUUUCUUUUUCUUUUUAAAAUUUUCCAUAGAGAUAUUACAAAUGCCACAAAAACCCCCUAAUUUUUUUUAUCACAAAAAACUCUAAAUUGAUAUACUUUUGACAAAUUUACCUCAAACUAAUUUUUUGACAAAUUUACCCUAUGUUUGUGACUAAACAUGGGAUAAAUUUAUCACAAAUACAUCAGUUUGAAGUUUUUUAUGGUCAAAAAAUUAGUAUAGGGUAAAUUUGUCGUAUGUGUACUAUUAGAGUUUUUCAUGGUAUUAACUUAUUUUACAGCAAGGUUAUACUUCACUUACUCGACUUCGUUGUUCUUUGAGACGCAGGAAACAGAAUUGUUCAAGAAGGUAGUUAAGCAGGUUUGUGGCGCAUUAGUGGAAGCCCAUCAUCUCAUCGUUUCCAUGGACACAAAGGUGAGAGCGAGAUUGGAAGAGGAUUAUCGCCGUGAGUCGAUGCGCCUCGCGAAAGAAAAUCAUUGUGCGGAGGAGAGGGAAAAGUUACAUUGCGACUUUCAGGACAGUCUAAAGCGGACGCCGGUGCUGAGGAGCAUGCGGAGCAAUGGGAAAAUGGUCAGGAAUAAGAUACACAUAGCUUUGCAUGAGUACCCGCAGCCUUGGAAUUUAUAUUCCAUGACUCAUGACAGGAUGGAGCAAUUAAGUUCGUAAUGUAUUAUCUUGGAGGUUACCUCAGUUCAAACCCUAGUGACAUCAAAUUUAGUUGCUUUACCAUUCUUUUUCUGGACCAGUUUCUUCUAUGUUUUGGUUGGGUCAAGUUUACAGCUCGUUGUUCAAAUUUCGAUUUACUUCCUAUUUUGUUCCUGCUGAAUUUAUCUGAGUGUUGUAGUUGCACUAGCAUGUGAAUACACAGUAUAUAUUUGUUGUGAAUUGAUCAAUUUGAACGUGUAGGUAAGCUACAACCUCUUUCGACUCAUGAGUAUAAAUUGGAGCACAUUAUCAUUGGCUCCAUGUUGAGUCCUCAAAUACACUUUAGCCGCAAGAGUUCAAGUCAGAUGACAGUCGAUAAACUUACCAAAAAACAUGCUCAAUUUCUAGAUGAUCUUAUUCCAUUACUUAUGGUAUAGACAAGCCAAUCUCUAAAUUGACAGCAUGGAGUUUUGCAUUCACAUAGAGAUUAGAAAUUUGUUAUUAGAUUGGAGAUAGUUUUUUUUUUUUUUUUGAGUCAGAAAGAAACGACUGUCAUUGCUAUCCAAAGGAUGGAUUAUAAGAGUUUCCAAGAUCACAACAUAAAAUUCACCAUAGGAAAUGGGGAGGUUCAGCAAGCCUAGUAGGCCAAAGGGUUUCGGUUUUAUGGGCCUUGGUGACUCGGGACAGUUUACAAGGGUUUCCAAGGAUUUCUUUUACAACUCUUUCAUCGAAGAUCUCAUUUAGUUUUUGGAUCUUCCAUACGCCUAAGUCCAGGGAAAAGCUUUUAAAGACUACCUUGAAGUUUAGUGUUGUGUUCUAUCUACUUGUUAAGAUGAUGUAUUUUAGGGACAAAUGCUUCUAAUUACACCGUCAUGCAAGCAUUGAGAUGGCACCAUGUGAAGCAUUGUGAUGAAGGAAGUGUGUAUCACCGAUACGCUGGAAAAAUGAGAGAAAGGAAUCUAAGUUAGAAAAAUGAUAAUCUAACGGUGUUGUUAUUUACAAGGAAAGUGACAGUGCAUUCACCAUUGCACAUAUUGCAAGAGAAACCAAUCAACUUGCUUCACUGGUUUCUCUUUACUUAUUCAUUGUCUGUCAUCCGCAGGGCACUGACAUCAAGAUAUGCAGAGAGAAAGAGGGAGAUUCUUUGUGUUCCCGGUUGCCAAUUGCAUGUCAAUGGCACUUUGUGGUAAAAAAGGUACCAUUAUUCCUUACCGUUAGCAUAGCAGCUCUCUCCAAGUUAAUCAAGGAGCAUCCAAAGACGGAUUGGAGCAGAUGAAAGGGUCAUUUGACGGUAGAAAUGCGAAUGAGAAUUUCAAUCGGGCUACAAUGAUUUCGAUUCAACUGUUCAGCCUGUCAAUUGUCCUAUUCAACAUAUGGAGACUUCAAUUCAACAUCAUAAAUUAGAUAUUGUUUCAUAGUCUUCUUUCUCAUGCCACAAUUGUGAAUUCAUUCGAUUUCUUCAAGGUUCUUCCAACUGAAAGUUAGGAUUGUAGGGUUGAUGGUGAAAAUAUCCCAAGUUGAGAUACAAAGCAUAGUGAACAAUUGUGCAAUGAAACCCGUUAUAUGUAAUUGCUAUGUAGUGCUCAUCAUUAAUAGAAACUCCUCAUAUUUUCAAGUACCUACCAUUUAUAGAAGACGUGAUUUUGCCAUGAUAAAGAAAAAUAUGAAUUAAGGAUGCAAUUUAAUAACUCAUUAAAAAUUUUUUGGCAACUCUUAUGUUUCUCAUCUUAUGAAACCGUCGUUAGCAAGUAUGGCUCCAAUUUGGCCCUGGCCCCCGUUGCAUUAAUUUCCCUAAAUUAUCUCUAGCUGCCAUUUGAAGGACAAAAUUCAAUCUCUAAUCAUAAUAUGGAAAGAUUAUGCUGAGUCAGCACGGACAGAUCGACACUUUUGGCGCAUAUUUGUGUUCUCGUACAAGGUUCAAAAGCAAAUUACGAUUUCCAUCCUCGUACCUUCGGGAGUUUUCAAAUUCAGUUCAGUUCAGUCCAGUUCUGUCCAGUAGAUUAAAAGAUCCCUCCACGUCACUAGGACUGAAGAACAGCCGGCGAAAUUCAGCACAGCCGAGGUCGCUCGCCGGGAGAAGUCCGAGCCGAGUCUCCCGUUUCUUUUUCCCAGAUUCGAAGGAAGCGGAGCCAGAAUGGGAAUAGGUAUGGCAAUGCGUAAUCCUUUGGCCGUCGCCAUCGCAUCCAUCUUGGUCGCCGUGCUCGCACCCCGUUUCCUGAAGAAGAAGGAGAAGGAAACGAUCGGGAGCACCAAACCCGACGGACCCAUUUCGGUGGAAUCCGCUCCGUCUACCUCCGGGAACGACUACGAUGUGUUCUUGAGCUUCAGGGGCAGGGACACCCGCACCGGCUUCACCGACCAGCUCCACAGCAGCCUCGUCCACGCCGGGGUCUCCGUGUUCAGGGACGACGACGAGCUCCGCGUCGGCGAGAAGAUCGGCUCGGAUCUUCUCUGAGCCAUUAGGAGCAGUAAGAUCUCCAUCCCGAUUCUCUCUCCGGAUUACGCUUCCAGCAAAUAGGGUCUUCGCGAGCUCGCCCGGAUGAUCGAGUGCAAGAGAAGUGAAGAGCACAUCGUCUUGCCGAUCUUCUACAAAGUCGAGCCCGGGCAUGUGCGACACCAGACGGGGAGUUUCGGGAAGGCCUUUCGUAAAAUUAAGAAGCAUUAUGAGGCAGAGGUGGUCCAACGAUGGGAUCGAGCCCUCCAAGAAGUAGGAAGCUUAAAGGGAUGGGAAUCAGAGAGAAUUGCUAACGGGUACUUCUUCUUUCACUCGUGAUCCUGCUUAGCUAGAUCAAAAGUCCGAAAAUUUUAUGCCGCGAUCACUUUUGCAGUGGAAAAAAAUGAUGGGUUUUUAUCAAUUGGCUGCUUUUUGCUUCCUGUUUAUAUGUGGAUUUGCUUCCGCGGAGAUAUUGAUGAUCGGUUUCUUGUAUUGGACUUUGCUGUUAUUUCACAGACAUGAAGCUGAGUUGGUAAAGAUAAUUGUCAGGAAGGUUUUGGGCGAGUUAAAGGAAGCUUUUCAGUUAGACGUCACAGAGAACUUGGUCGGGAUUAGUAAUCACGUAGAGGAGAUUAUGAGAAUGUUAAAAACUGAUGACACUGAUACUCAAUUUGUUGGAAUCCACGGAAUGGACGGUGUUGGUAAGACGACUCUGGCCAAGUUCAUCUACAAUAAACUCUCCUGUCAGUUCGAUCACUGUAGCUUCUUGGCAGAUGUGCGAGAAACAGCAAAAGACAGGGUGCCCACCAUUUGCAGAACCAACUAAUCUCCCAUAUUCUAAAAGGAAAACACAAUGACAUCUCCAAUGUCGAUGAAGGACUUAGAAUCAUCAAAACUAGAUUUAGGCAUAAGAAAGUCCUCAUCCUUCUCGAUGAUGUGGAUGAUGUUUUUCAGUUGAACUGUUUGGCUGGAAAAUGUGACUGGUUUGGUUCCGGAAGUAAGAUCAUUAUUAUGGCAAGAAAAGUGAGUUUUCUUGAUGAGGCUCGGGUGGAUAACUCGUAUGCACUCAAUGGAUUGGAUCCUGACAACUCUUUGCUUCUUUUUAGUAGACAUGCAUUCAGAAGGGACUUCCCUUUGCCUGAAUUUGGGGAUCUCUCGCGUGAAAUUGUGUCCACUACGGGAGGGCUUCCUUUAGCACUCGAGGUUAUAGGAUCGUUCUUUUGCGGAAAACACCUAGUAGUAUGGAAAGAUACAUUAAGGAAGUUACGGCAAAUACCAGAUAAGGAAGUGCAAGAGAAGUUAAGGGUAAGUUAUGAAGCAUUAGAUUAUGAGCAAAAACAGAUAUUUUUGGAUAUUGCCUGUUUUUUCACUGGAACUGAUGGAAGAAUUGCAUCCUAUAUGUGGGAUGACUGUGAAUUUUUCCCAGGGAUGGGUAUUGAAGCAUUGAGUGUGAUGUCCUUGAUAAAAGUGGGAAAUGACCAUAGGCUGUUAAUGCAUGACCAACUGAGAGAUCUAGGUAGGGAAAUCGUCCGGCAGGAAAACUAUGAGGAGCCCAGGAAACGUAGUCGCGUAUGGAUUCACAAGGAAGCCUUACAUGUUCUAGAGAAAAAAAAAAAGGUGAGAGUUUUCUUUGAUUUACUUUUGUGCACUUAGUCAAUGUUUAUAAUCUACCAUAAGAGGAAAAAGAAGUUAGUAAAUUGAAUUAGUCCAGCCCUAGUUAAAAGAAGGCCUGUUCGUAAUAUUUUCAACAUUGUGUUACUCAUUGCAUAAUGCAAGUUUGUAAUUCAUGGGAGUAAUAUCCUUAGAGGGUGCUCUUCUGUGAUAAUCAAAGGUUCUCAGCUAACUUAUGGAGUUUAACUCAUUUUAAAGGACAUGUUAGCAAACUUAAUUGUAGCAGUGUUGAGCAUUUUAUAUAUUAGCUUCUGGUGGAUUGUGUAAGAUAAAUUUGUUGAAAGAUACUAUCCAAUGAGUUUAGCUGCAACCAUGUGAGCAUAGAAAUUAUUAUGAAACAACAUAUCAUAGUUUUGUUUUCAUGAUGCUUUAUUUCUGAUCCAUGGAAUUCUUACUUUCAGGGAACUAGAAAGAUAAAAGCCCUCCGUCUCAAUAAAAGUGGCUUAGGCAGGGUGUACAGCAAUGUACUGUUUGAAAAGCUACUGAACUUAAGGUUCCUUGAGAUGAAUAAUUUCAUCCUCUCUGGAGAUUUUGAGUAUGUUCUUUCUGAACUAUGGUGGCUUUAUUGGAAAAAUUGUCCAUCAAAUUUGGUAGCAACCAACUUUCACGUGAAGAAAUUAGUCAUACUUGACUUAUCAAGGAGCAAAGUCACAGAGCAUUGGGAAGGAUGGAAACUUAUGGAUGUAAGAUGAAAAGAGUAGAUUUUCCUUUCAAAAUAUGAUCAAUAAUUCUUAGUGGUUCUUAGUGGCUCAUGUUUCCGUGCUUUCUUUCUUUCAGGUGGCAAGUAAUCUGAAAGUUCUCAACAUUGCUAAUUGCCGUGACUUGAAAACAUCUCCUGAUCUCGCAGCUUUUCAAAAUCUGGAGAUUUUAAAUCUUGGAAAAUGUGAAAAUCUAACAAAAUUGCACCCUUCUAUUGGAAGCAUCAGCAUUCUGAUUUCCUUGGAUGUGAGAGACUGUUUCAGACUGAAGGAACUUCCAAUAGAAGUGGGCCAGCUACAAUAAUUAGAGGAGCUUUUUUAUGGAUAGAACUCGGAUGGAAGAAAUUCCCGUAUCGAAAGUUUCAAUGAAGAAGCUCAGGACUCUUAGUGCCCAGUAUUGUGAAUCAUUGGCUCGAAUACCCAGCUCGUUAAGCCAUCUAAAAUCUCUGUCAACCCUUGAUUUUAUGGGAUGCAAAAAGCUUGCUGAACUUCCAGAUGCCCUAGGGUGCCUUCAGAAACUGCAGCGCUUAUCAUUAAAAGAAUGUAGCUCAUUGAGAGGGAUCCCCAACUCAAUUGGCAAGUUGGAAUGUUUAACUGAGCUGGACAUAUCGUACACAGGAUUUACAGAGUUGCCUGAAUCCAUUGGAGACUUGAGUAAUUUAGAAGUUCUGCAAAUGGCGGGGUCACAUGUAACAAGGUUACCUAGUGUUAUUGGGAUGUUGGGGAAACUCACCACAUUAGAUGCCACAAAUUGCAACAUCCUGGGCAGAAGUUUGUAGUAAUAUUGGUGAAUUGUUUCAUUGAAGGCCCUCCGAUUGUUGGGGACAGAAAUUUGUGGCUUGCCAGAAAGCAUUUGUAAGCUUUCUGUCUCCAAGACCUCAACUUACGAGGGUGCAAGAAGCUCCAAUUGCUGCCCAAACCUACCCUCUGGCUUGAGAACUCUAGGUCUCACUUGUCAGAGUCUUACAUUGCCAAUCCUUUCCAACCUGACAAAUCUAAAGGAACUCUCUGUCCUAGAAUGCACUACACUUGAAUGCCUCCCAGAGCUUCCCUCUAAACUGUCAAAGCUUUCCUUAGGAGGAUGCCAAAUGUUGAGAAAGUUGCCAGAUUUGUCAAACUUGAAGCAUCUUUCAGAAUUGAGUUUGAAGGUUUGCUCUGAAUUGAGAGAAGUCAAAGGUCUGGAAGGAUUAGUAUCGCUAACAAUGUUGGAUGUGUUGAAGUGCCCAAAGUUAUCUAGGCUUGAUAGGGUAGAAUGUUUGAUGUGUCUGAGGUACCUAAGCAUAGGACCGUCAGAAGCGUUAGAGAGGUUGAUGGAUUGUUCGGAACUGAGUAAUUUAAAGGUGCUUCCAAGUUGUGAGAAUCAAGCUGGAUUUCAAGCUCUUAAUAGCUUCAUUUGCUUGGAAGUUUUAGAACUCACUGCUUGCAUGUCUUUGGAAAGACUGGACCUUUCAACUUUGAAGCUUUUAAGGAAAGCAAGUGUUAGGAAAUGCAAGAAUCUAGUCGAAAUUAGAGGCCUUGACAGCUUGGAAUACUUGGAAAGGUUGGAUAUCUCUGAGUGCACAUCCAUUAAGAGACUGGAUAUUGCAAAAUUGAAGUAUCUGAGAUAUUUAUGGGCUUCCAAAUGUAAGAAUAUAUGUGACGUCCAAGGCCUUGAUGUCUUGGAUUGGAAUGGUUGGACAUCUCUGGGUGCACAUCGAUUGAAACAUUACCAGGCCUUUCUUGCUUCAAGACACUGAGGUUUCUCAAUAUCAACCACUGCAAAAAACUAUGUGAUAUUCAGACCCUGGAGAAAUUCUCAUCCUGCCAAUGGUUCUAUAUUGAUGGAUGCAAGUCCCUAGAGAAACUGCAAAACCUAUCAAAAUUUGAAGGUUUGAUAGAGUUGAUAGUGAAAGAUUGUCAUGAACUUCUGGAUAUUUCAGAGCUCAGAGAGUUGAGAUCAUUAGAAUUUAUAGAUAUGUCAAGAUGCAAGUCCAUUGAGCAUCUACCAGAUUUGUCAAUGUGCAAGAACUUGAAAUGUUUGGUUGUAAGAGACUGCAAGAAACUUAUGGAGCUUACAGGGCUUGGAGACUUGCAUUCACUGUGGUGAGUGGAUAUUACUGGCUGCAAGUCACUGAAACAAAUACCGGAAUUACCUGGAGCACACAUCAUGCAGAACUAUGGAGAACCUACGUUUCAUCCCUUGUAUGGGACUAUAACUUUCAGCUGAUAUGCUGCACAUAGUUCUACUGCCAUGUCAAACUUGAGAGAGUAAAAAGAAGGUGAUCACCCAUGCCCUGUUCACACCUAUUUCCUGUGUUUUAAUAGUGUUAUCUGUAUCAAGAAGUAAAUUUUCCUUCAUGGCCUUUUCUAUUAUCAUUUCUUUCCCCUAUAUAGUUCAAGCAAUGGAAAGAAGUUGAUGCUCUGGCAAUUGUUUAUUUCUAGAGUGGAACUUCUUCGCCCAGUUGGAAACCUUCUCUAAGUACGUUUGAUAUCAUCGUGGUUGACAACUCGAGUUCUUAAUCUUCAACAUGAGAUUGAUUAGUGAUGUGCAUGUACAGACUUCGGAGGUUAUUUUGCUUGGAUACCUGAUAUGUCCUGUUUGUUUCACUAACACAGGGAACAGGUGACUAAAGUAGAACAUCUUCUGAUGAAUUUUUAUGUUAGAUUUGUAGAUGUAUAUUUGCUGUUACUUGCCUUAUCGUUAUGAAAAUUACCUUAUCACGACAUUCCAUUUCUUGAAUUGUUAGCAGGAUUCAUGCAGUUUAUAGAGGCUCUAUCUAUAAUUUGUUUGGGAUUGACUACAUAUUGCAGCUUUCUGUGGAUGGACUUAGACAUUAUUAAAUUUUGGAACGCUUCUCCAGCUUGGACCUUGGAAAUUCCUCCGAGUUUAUAGGAGAGAUGAAUCUCAAAGAAUUAAUAUUCCUGGCUAUAUUGGAGUGCAACAAGCAAAGCUUCAUUUGAUUUUCACCGAGGAAUCAGCGUUUUCUCCUAAAUAUGAUUGAGGAGCUUUCCUCCUUUUCCUUUCAUGAUAAUAUUAUGCCUGAGAAUGUUCCUCAAUUUCAUUAUUGGACCAUUAUGCAAUCAGUUUUGAAUGAAGAACUAGAGUUCUUUUUCAUUAUGCAGUAACAGUGACAAUACUUGCAGGAACACCCAAGCCUGGUGAACCUAUUCUUCAUUUUAUCUCGAUACUUCCUGCACAUUCCACGUAAAUGAGCAAGGGUUAAUGACUAUUAUAAAUUGAGUUAAUAACUAGGGCAGCUGCUCGAUCACUACUUAUGCUCGUGGUUUUAGUUCGUUUCCUUUGGGGCUUCUUUCAUGGGAGUGAUGCUUUUCCAAAAUGUGUGUCGGCCAGCCUCUCCAUUUGUAAGCUAAGAAUUGUAGGAUCUGUGGUCGUGGGAAGAAGGAAAUGAAUCGUGGUUGUAUCAACCCAGAGAGUGAAAACUGCAUUGUAUCUAGUCCGUGUAUUCGCUUGUCAAACAAUGCAGUCUUUGGUAGUUAGCCUGUGCAAGUUCCCGAUGUAAGAGAACGAGAUUUAUUUACCUACUCGUGUAUCACAGUCGCCAUGAAUUGACCAGGAAGACACCAAGCGGCAAAACUAUGCACUGAUUUGCCUUUUCUCUCUUUCUUUUUAGUUCAAGGAACCAGGAGACUCCAAGAACAUAUGGAAAGCUAGCUGCCUUGUCGAAGGACAUUUACCGACAUAGCCACUGGCAUUGUGUAUCAGCUACUGGAAACCAUAUAUGGCAAGAAAAUAUCUUUCUAAGACACUAGAUGCUAUCAACUCGCGAUUCUCCAAUUGCUGACUUGCAAUUGGCAAAAGUGGCUCCAACCGUUCUGGAUUGAGAAAGAAUCAAUAAGAGUGGAACUGAAUAUUUUGCAUCCUCUGAUACGCGAAGAAGCGUGAGAAGUUCACUACAUAUCUGCAGGAAUUUUUGAGAGAUGAUCAUUUCUGUCUGAAUGGACCAUUCCAAAUCUUGUAUUGACGCGAGGGGAAGACAAACAACUCAGGGAUGUUUUAAACUGCUUCUGAGGCUAUAAAUUACUAUUAACUCUAAUUGCCACCUGCAUAAGAACGCCGGUUUAUUAAAGAUCUCACGUUCCCAUGUGCCUAAACUUGUUCAGAAAGAUGUGCACUUUACCCUGUAAAGCAUAUGCUCCACUUUUAGUUCAUUUAUUAGAGAUCUUCUAUCUGUUCUGGCUUAUAAUUUUCUCAACAAGAAGAGACAGUGUAAGCGAUGGUGCUGAUGCCAGCAGUUCAGGCGCUGUGGGAACAUCCACUUCUCCAUUCAUCUCUCCAAGUGGUGUGGGAAAUGACUGCAACAAAGUGUUCUUGAGCUUUAGAGGCACAGAUGCUCACACAGGAUUCACAAAUCACCUCUACCAUUUGCAAACUUGUCGAUGUAGGCACUGUGCCAGCUCAUGUUCAGAGAUGAUAAAGACCUCCAAGUCGGCAAGGAGUCUGGGUCAGAGCUUCUCAGCGCAAUCAUGCAGUCUAAGAUCACGGUACCAAUUAUCUCUCCCAAUUAUACUUCCAAUAAAUGGUGUCUUUGCAAGCUCAUUCAAAUGAUGGAGUAGAGAAAGAGAGGAAAGUCUUGCCGAUGUUUUACAAAGUCGAUCCCUCACAUGUGCGGUACUGGAAAGGGAGUUUUCGCAAGGCCUUCCGCUCACCCAAAAAGCAUUUUGAUGCGAAGGCUGUCAAGCCAGGGCAGCGAGCGAGCUCUCCGGGCAGGAUCUUCUUCCAAAGCAACUAUGAUCAUCAGUUUCUAACCGGUUCUCAUCAUAUUCUUCUUCCAAAGCCUGUUGCUGCUGCUAUUCGCCUUAUGGUUUCCUCUGAGACCCGAUCCAUAGGUAAUCUGGGCACUUGAACCCAAAACUCAUAAUGUGUGUAAUUGUAACUGUUCUGUGAAGUAGUUGGCAUCCAUGGUUUAAGCACCAAACGAUUGCUGGAGAAAGACCAAGGCCUCAUCUCACGAAUUCUGUUCAUUUCAUUUUCAGACUUAAAGGCUAAAGUUCUCACGAAUUCUGUUCAUUCCAUUUUCAGACUGCUAAAGUUCUCAAGUCUACCCGAUUAAAGGUAACUGAAUCCACUCUCCAUGCCGCUUCAUAGUGUUUUGGAAGGCUUAGAGAUUGAUAUUGGGGUUGCAAUUGCCUAAACAUAGUUAGACGACAUUCUUAUAUUCUACCAGUUGGGACCAUACCAUCUAUCUCAGCCAGGUCUUUUUCUGACCACAAAUUGCACAAUUUUUUGUAUAGUAACUCGAGAAUCUGAGUUAUCUAAUUCUUCCAUCCAAGAGGCACGAGAGGCAGACAGCUUACUCCAUAUGAAAAAAGUAUAGCAGAAGCAGCUAUUCCAAUAAAUUCAUUCUCGGGGUUGUAUCCCAAN
RNAcentral lists this long non-coding RNA (59538 nucleotides) under Eucalyptus grandis. Its description in RNAcentral is "long non-coding RNA (EGRA_LNC001292)". Lineage: Eukaryota; Viridiplantae; Streptophyta; Magnoliopsida; Myrtales; Myrtaceae. The record is from RNAcentral.